Molecule: long non-coding RNA, 50329 nt
Filed under: Sorghum bicolor (sorghum)
Lineage: Eukaryota; Viridiplantae; Streptophyta; Magnoliopsida; Poales; Poaceae
Description: long non-coding RNA (SBIC_LNC008674)
Source: RNAcentral
CUUGAGUAGGCAUUGGUAUAUUUUAUCGGACUAACCCCUGCAGGAAAACUUUCGACAUCAACCUGGGAAGUCCUAAGAUACAAACUCACAUUGGAGACAAAGGAGACACAUGAAGUUUACCGAUUUGCACAAGGAAGACAUAACUCAUUCAUCAUAGAGAGAUGAUCCAUGGAACGAGACAAAGAGUGCCACAAACACGGUACACAACCGCUAAGAAAAGAAAGCUUCCACAAGGUGAUACUCUACCAUCACUCUUCAAGUAAGGUAACAUCUUAAGGUACUUGACUAUCGCUUUUGUAAACUUGGUUCUGGCGUUCACAUAAAAUAAAGAGACAAACAUGUAUGAUUUAUAACUCCAAAUUAACCAACCCAACAGAUUCAACAUGUUUAAUCCUUUAAUCUUUGUUUAUAGUACUACCUUCGUGAUCCCACACCCCUAAUCAUAUAAGCUAAAAUGUUGCACAUUCAAUCUCUGGAAAAUAUAAACAAAACAUAAAUAUACAUAGAUUAUCUUUCCAUUAGGUCGAGCAAUCUGAUCUGACAAAUGUUUUAAAUGCUACACUCAUGAUCUUAUUAUCCAUCAACUUUGUCUUGCUUACUAUGUUUAAGGUUAGAGAAGAACAAAUACACUAUUGGUUCUGUUGGUGUUUUUCACCAACAGGGCCCAUGCACUUGAUCUCUGCCUUGUCUCUAUGAGCAGGUACACUUCGAGCAAAACCUGAUGGAUUUUUACAACUCCCAGACUCCACCAUGUGAAGGGCUUGGAUCUACGAGCACAAACACACUGGAGAUACUAGACACUCAGGCAAUAACUGCCCUGAGAUGCUCAAGGACGUAAACUACAUCAACAACAACAACAACUACUACUACUACAACCGUCCUCAAUAAAAUCAAGGUUGGAAUCAACAGAGGCCUAACUACUCAGAGAGGUGAUCCAGGACACCCCGUCAUCCCGAUCUCCAUCAGCAUGGUGGACUUCCCUGAAGCACUCUGCGACUCUGGCUCUAGCGUCAACAUUAUGCCCACGGUUGCAGAUCGAACAUAAAGUUUCCCAAAGGGAAUAUUGAAGAACCUCUGCGUCCGAGUUGGUACCUUGUACGCCCCAGUGCUGCCAAGAUUAGUCUCUACAUCAAGGGGAGGAAAGACGUUUUCCUUCAAGAACAAGACUAUACAAAUCUCAUAGCAAUCCCGACAUGAACCAAGGAAGAGGACCAACAAGAGGAACAGAAACAAGCAAAUGUGGACCGAGUCAGCUAAGAUGGUCACUGCAGUUCAAAGAGGUCAAGAUCGUCGACUUAAGUCACUGUUUCUGACCAAAAAGGAUGACCCAGCUCCAGAUGGCAGAGCAGACAUUCCAAAAGGUUGAAGGUUAUUGACAUGGGAGAAGACGAGUAUGAUCCACCCAUCAUCCUUGAGAGACCGUUCCUCAGCACCGUUAAAGCAAUCAUCUACAUUGGAACCAGAGAAGUCCACAUGCACUUCCCCUCUGAGAAGGUACGCCGCUAUUUUACUGACCCUAACUAUAUAGUUGAAGACUCUAAGAAGGUCAGGAGAAGAAGAAGACAACACAACCGCAACCAGAGAAGGCAAAUCAUCAAGGACGGAUGGGCAGACUACGAAGGAGAAGUGGUAAGGUCUGAAGACAUACAGCUUGAACAGAACUGUCCUGAGGAGACAGUAGCACCGAGUCAGGUGUGGAGAGAGAAGAUAGUUAUACACGAAGAAGAGGCGCCGCCGGAACCACCGACUACGCCAUCCAGCAAAUCCCAGGACCACUGAGAAAACAGAGAGUCCCGUUCGGAGGACUUAAAAACACCGAAGGCCUUGCCAAGAGGUAAACUUGGUAGUUAUCCUUUUCCCUUCAAUUAUUUAAAAUAGUUUGCUUAGUUAAUCAGGUUCAUAUCAUCUCAAAAAGAAAAUAAAAAUGUUAAAAAUAGUAAGCCCCAUGUGAGUAUGCUCAUGGCAUAAAACCCAUAAGUACAUUCACUGUGGUGGCGUAAAAAUAAAAUAAAUAUAUUUCUGUCCUAUAAAAAUAAAAAUAUAAAAAUAAAUUUAUGAUCCUACUAAAGAGAGUAACAUUUAUUGAGGAGGCUCAACAUGAUAAAGGCAAAGAGAUUUUAUGCUAACGCUUAACCUGUUCCACAAAGCUUUGUUGUCUAUUUGAGCUCCACAGAAUUCAAGGAUCAAAGGAGACUAGUAGACAGAGGACAUCCUAAUCGCUGUCAGGGUACUGCCGACAUUCAAAUACACCUUCGACACCUGCGAGCUACAUUAGAAGAAAUUACGUCAAAAUACAGCUUGGGGGAGAGCACCCCCAUUUAUCCAGCUAAGUGUUUCUACUCGCGUUUAUACUUUACUCAAAUAAUAAAAAGAUGCAUAAUCAUGAAAAUCCAAUUAAAAAUUUUGUGAUUAUAUAUAUCUUUGCUUAGGUUGCUAAAUAAAUAAAUAAAGUGUCUAGGCUAAACUGAACAUAAAUGAUAAACUCUUACAUGGAUAUGAUAAAUAGUUGCUCUGCCAUGUGCCUAGUUUUCAAGUUUGACCUCUCUUAAGUUUAGGCAUAACUGUUAUAAUUUAAACCUACUCUAAACCUGAACUUGUGGGAAGAGUACUUGAUCUGAAGUCUAAGUUGUUAACGGAUACGAUAUGGGAAGGUUGAGCUGCUGUUUAUCUGUUCCUAGAUAUGCUAGAAUUCUAGAGAAUUUUAUCUUUAAAAAAAAUCUUUAAAAUAACACAUGAUGAGUUCCUGUAUGAUGAGAGUUUAAAUUCCUACCACAGCCAUAUAUACAUGCUUGCUAGACUUUGAGCCACACAUUUAAUUUUUAUUGCUUAUGAGCAUUGAGUGUGGUCAAGCGUGUAGACCCUUAGGAGCUUGUCAUGCGGUUAAAAUCAAGAUCCACUUGCACGUUCACUCACACAUGCUGCUUCUACUCUAGAAGUACGCAUCCACAUAUAUCCACUCAUUUCCAUCUCCAGAUUCCCCCAAAAUUAUUCUACUCCUAAUCUGGGAGAGAAUAGCCGAAAACAUUUCCUUAUUUCUGUUUUUCCCUGUGAAAUAAAUGCUCGAGUUAUCUUGGUUACUACCACUUCCUAUACUAUUUCAGGAGAUGAGUGCUCUAAAAAAAGAGAAAAAAUACGAGGAAAUAAAAAUGGGCAAGUGCCCGGAACCUCGAAAGAAAAGAAAAAGUGAGACAAGAGGUAAAAAUGGACAAGUGUCCGACAGUAGAAUUAGGGGUACAAGAUACCCACCUGAAAGAAAAAGAAAAUAUAGAGCAUCUCAUUCUCCUCAAAAAGCUUCAAAGUGCAAGAUAGGUAUGUAUCCCCUUAAAAGAGCAAAAGUAGAAUUAGGUUUUCACCAUGGUUAUCACCAUCAUCACCAUACACCAUUCACUCACCACACAUGCACAUCUUGAUUUGACUUAUUGACUUGCUCUUCUGGAUCCAUGGUUUGACUAUGCAAUAAAUGUCAUGUAAGUAUGUAUUAUCUGUCUCCCACCUAUGAGCUCCAGAUAUCAAAACCUUAUUAGAGUAGGGUGAGAGAGAAAGCAAUAUCACUAUGCCUCAUACCAAAAAUACCACAUACUUUGAGAGAAGGCAUAUACUAUUACUGCCUUGGAAAGGAUCCAGAAAUACCACAAAAGAGAGAUUUGAGAGAGUCAUACAAGGAAUCUCUGAGUUUUAUUUGAAAAUAUGCAAAAAACUCCAGAGCUAUAGCUGAUCGAGAAUACGAGACAUGGCGCUUGACUUGACCAUUUUAUCUUUUAACUGCUCAAGACACAAGUGACGGAUGCAAGCCCCAUGGUGAAAGGUAAAAUGAGUAAGUUUUAAGUCUUAACAGUUUACUCUAACUCAGAGAUGAGAUCUUGCUUGAACGCAUGUGUACUUUUAAAGCAUGAAACCACUGCAGAAACUCUUGAGUCCAUCCUUGCUCAGGGACGAGCAAGAGGUAAGCUUGGGGGAGUUUGUUGACGGUCCUUAAGAACCAAAUAUAAUCAUCAAAUAAAUAAAGAAAAGGAUCCAAAUGCAACCAACACCCAGACAUAGGGUUUUAUCUGACGGAAUUCGAUGAGUUUUGGUGUUUGUCUAUUUCUGUAGGGGGUUGUUGACGGUCCUUAAGUACCAAAUAUAAUCUUCAAAUAAAUAAAGAAAAGGAUCCAAAUGCAACCAACACCCAGACCUAGGGUUUUAUCUCACAGAAUUUCACGAGUUUUGGUGUUUGUCUAUUUCUAUAGGGGGUUAUCAGGAAAUAUGGAAGAAAGGCCCACACGUCGGGUUUACAUAGAGAUAUUAAUGUGCCGCACAAUUUUCUAUCAUCUAGAAGACUCCAGAAGCCACAGGAACGACCGGGAAGGCGAUCGGGACAGGGGGUAGGGCGCCCGCCCUGGUGUAGAGUCCAAUCAGGACCCGUCUCGUGGAUUACGCUCCACCGACCUAAAGGAUCAAGGAUAACCGUGCAAUCAAUGUCAGUUUGAUCCGACGACCCAGAUUCACUUGAGGGGACUAUGUAAGCAGACCCCCUGGCCCCUGGAGGAGAACAAGUUCAUCAUAGAGUUGAGAGGUGCCCUCGAAGGAUAACCUUUCCUCUAAAUAGACUUAGGGCCUAGCAUCCAAUGUGAGAGUAGACUAGAUCUACUAAAUUGAGAGAGAUAGAGUGGAGGUGUAGAUCGGAGGAAGCCCGGGCUGUCAGUGUCUACUCCGAGGUUGUACCUGCGGGAUCAAGUUCUCCUAACCCGAGGCUUGGUCCUAGGAUUCUUCAGUAAUUUGACUUCUAAAUUCUAGUAUUUUAUUGUUCUUUGGUUUAUGAGUUUACUUUAAUCUCUUCUGGUUGAGUUUAGAGUAAUCAUUGUGUUGACGGUCCUUAAGUAUCAAUUUUGUUUAUCAAAUAAACAAAGAAAAGGAUCCAAAUGAAAUCAACAUCCAGACUUAGGGUUUUAUCUAACAGAAUUCCAUGAGUUUUGGUGUUUGUCUAUUUUCGCAAGGGGUUAUCAGGAAAUACGGAAGAAAAGCCCACACGUUUGGAUUACAUAGAGAUAUUAACGUGCCGCGCAAUUAUCUUACAUCUAGAAGACUCCAGAAGCCACGGGAACGAAGCAAAGGCCGAACGGGGCCUGGCCCUAGGCGCCCGCCCAGGAGACCAGGGCGUCCGCCCCCUUGUAGAGUCCAAUCAGAUCUCUCUUUCAGGAUCAAGCUCCACCGACCUAAAAGAUUAAGGAUAACCGUUCAAUCAAUGUCGGUUUAAUCCAACAGCCCAUAUUCACUUGAAGGGACUAUAAUACCAGACCCCCUGGCCCCUAGAGGAGAGAGCCUCUCAACCCUAAUUCAUUAUUCCUCAAGGGAGAAGAAGCCUCUGAUCAAGCCUAGAGCCACCACAUCAAUUAGACAUCUAGAUUAGCAUAGCAACAUAGGAUUAGAACUAGAAGGAGUCAAUCUUCGAUUGGUUUCCGGAUCUGUCAAGAGGAUUCUUGGUAAUUCUCUAAUUGUUCUUCUAAUUGUUCAUCUUUGUUCUUCAAUAUUAUGAAUAUGACUUUGUUCUACUUCAAUAUAUUGCUUAUGAUUUUGCUCUACUUAUUUAUAUUCAAGAUUAUAUUGUUCUUAGUCUAUCAUAGUUAUAUACUUGACUUAGUUAGAUUGGAUCUAUAUACAUGUUUAGGAUCGUAUAGCGUUUAUCCAUCGGAUCCAUGGGAAAAUGAUAGAUAUUGUGUAGGAGUGGUGCUUAUACCGUAUUUAUCUGCGAUUGUACCCAAUAUGCCACAUCGUGGGGUAGUUUGUGAUAGUGACAGCUUCAUUGAUUCUUAUAUAGUCCCCCUCUCGUGUAUUGGGCUGGCAGAGCAACAUUAUUACAGGGGAGUGAUUAUGAUGUUUCUCAUAUUCCUUGCUAAUAUCACUAUGCAUGGGCGUAGUCCUUUCUCGCAAUGAUUGCUAAGUAUGCUUGCACUAACUAUGAUAAUGCUAGACUGUAUAGUUAAGAAUAACUUAGGAAAUAUUCUUGUAGUUCGUUCUAAUACCAUGCUAAUGACUUGCUAGAAUAUCUAAUUGAGGUGCUUAUCAUAUUUAUUAUGUGGCUAAGUUAUGCUUAUCAGAUUAAUUAUCUUUGUCACUAUUCAUUACUUUAUAUAUCCUUUAUGUGACACUUAUCCCUGUAUGGAAGAGUUAGAUAAAUGUUCUCAAUUAUACAUGCAAUGAUAGAUACUCAAUCUCAUAUUCCAUUCUAUAAUCCACAUUGAUGAUUACUAAUCCCUUCCCAGUGGUAAAAAUAUAAAUAACGAUACCUGGAAUACUUCCCGGUUAAAAUGCUACAUCGGUAUUAAUCUGUGCGCUUGCAGAUCCCAUUCAUUAUUUAUUUAGAUGAGCAAUUGCAUAUUUCAAUACCGCAUCUUUCAUGUCAUGCUGGGGAUGACAACUUGGCUUAAGUGGCAUGGGAGAUAGGUUUGGCAUUUUUGGCAUCGUUAUCAGAAUUAGAAAACUGUCUACUUUUGGUAGUGAUGUUAAGAAUACCCAACAAGUAUUUUUGGCGCCAUUGCCAGGAAAGGUUGAUUACUAAUCAAGAAUGAAUAUGGAAUUUCGAGUUAUCAUUCGCAUCACUAAUAUGAUUGAGCUUAUCAAUUCUCUCAUACAGUUUUACCCCAAUAUUUUUCUAUUUUAUCUUAUGCAGGGUAAUGUAUGAAUAGAAGACAUCUUCUAAGAAAUUUUGUUGACAAUCUCGAAGCCUUAUUCAGAAAAACAAGAGCUAAGCUCAAGAAGAGAUCAUCAACACUUCAGCAAGAAGCUUCAUCCAAUCAAGAAGAUCACCGGAACUUGCCUUCAGAGUUCGAAGCCAUGGUGAACAAAUCGAUCAGUGAGUUCUCAGCUCCCACUACAGACAACAUCCGCACUGGACCUGCUACAGAUAUAGACGGUAACUUUGAGCUCAAGCCUGGAUUGAUCAACAUGGUGCAAUCCAACCAGUUCUGUGGGAAGGCACACGGAGAUGCUAGUGCUCAUCUCCAACACUUUCUGGAGAUUUGCAGCACGUUCACCAUAUCAGGAGUCCCUAGAUAUGCUAUACUACUUCACCUCUUUCCAUUCUCACUGUUAGGAAGAGCGAAGCAAUGGUUCUACACUACAAAGGAAAAGAAUACUACGUGGGCACUCUGCUCCACAAACUUUUUGGCUAAGUUCUUUUCCAUGGGCAAGACCAAUGCUCUCCGUGGGAAGAUUACAAGUUUUCAACAACAACAUGAUGAAUCCGUUCCAGAAGCAUGGGAGCGUUUCCAAGACUACAUCCUAGAAUGUCCCCAUCAUGGAAUGGAGAGUUGGCUACUGAUGCAGACGUUUUAUCAUGGGCUCGGCAACAAUGCCCGAGAGACCAUGGAUGUAGCAGCUGGAAUCAACAGAGGCCUAACUACUCAGGUAAUUAUCAAGGUAACAAUUCUUACAACAAUAAUAAUAAUUUUUCCACCUCUGAGAGAGUUAGUGUCUAAUCAAGGAAAGCUAAUGGAUAAUCUAUCUAAGAAAUUAGCAUCUAAUGAUAAAAUGUUAGAAAAUAUAAAUAAUAGAAUGGAUAAUUUCUCUAGUGCCAUCAAGAAUCAAAUUAGCUUUAAUAAGAUGAUUGAAUCUCAGUUAAAUCAAAUAGUUGCUGCUGUUCCUGCUACUAACCCCGGUAUACCAUCACAACCGGAAGGAUUAGAAUCUGCAAAUCUUGUAGACAUGUUUGAUGCAGGUAACUACUGGAGUAACCCUGUCACUGAAGUUACUACUGACCUUCUGCCGGUCAAGAGAGACGAUCCAGGACGCCCCGUCAUCCCAAUCUCCAUCGGCAUGGUGCACUUCCCAGAAGAACUCUUCGACUUUGGCUCUAGUGUCAACAUUAUGCCCAGGGUACUCUAUGAAGAAUUCUUUACAUAUCCUUUAUUAGAGACAACCAUGUGUUUGCAGUUUGCAGAUCAGGUGAUAAGUUUUCCAAAAGGAAUAUUGAAGAACCUUUGUGUCUGAGUUGGUACCUUAUAUGCCCCAGCAGACUUCGUGGUGAUAGAGACCGGUAAUGAUGAGAGGGCACCCAUCAUCUUAGGAAGGCCAUUCUUGAACACCUCGGGAGCUGUCAUCUACGCCAGUGCUGCCAAGAUCAGUUUCUACAUCAAAGGGAACAAGGAGACGUUUUCCUUCAAGAACAAGACUACACAAAUUCCAGAUCAAUCUCGACAUAAAUCAAGGAAGAGGACCAACAGGAGGAACAGGAAUAAGCAAGUGUGGACCGAGUCAAUUAAGAUGGUCAAUGCAGUUCAAGAAGGUCAAGAUCAUCGACUUAAGUCACCGUUUCGGACCAAGAAGGACGAACCAGGAAUGCCAAGCAUCUAUUGCUCCAUAAAUGGAUACAAAUUCUAUAAUACAACUUGCGACACAGGAUCGGGCGUCAACAUAAUGGCCGCAGUCACCUAUCGGCUCUUGUUCGGAACCAUGUGUUGACGGUUCUUAAGUAUCAAUUUUAAUUAUCAAAUAAACAAGAGAAAGAAGCAAUAUGCAACCAACACCUAGAAUUAGGGUUUGAUCUGACAGAAUUCCACGAGUUUUGUUGUUUAUCUAUUUCUGUAGGGGGUUAUCAGGAAAUAAGGAAGAAAGGCCCACAUGUCGGGAUUACAUAGAGAUAUCAAUGCACCGCACAAUUUUCUACAAUCCAGAAGACUCCAGAAGCCACGGGAAGGAAGCAGAGGCCGAACAGAGCCUGGCCCUGGGCGCCCGCCCUCUGUUGGAUGCCAAUUAGGACUCUUUUCGCACACGACGCUCCACCGACCUAAAGAAUCAAGGAUAACCGUCCAAUCAAUGUCGGUUUGAUCCAAUGGCUCACGUUCACUUGAGAGGACUAUAAAACCAGACCCCCUGGCCCUGGAGGAGACAAGUUUAUCAUAGAAUUGAGGGGAGCCCUCGAAGGAAAACCUCUUCUCUAAAUAAAAUUUGUUUUUAGGCUUAGCAACCAAUGUGAGUAGAAAUAGAUCUUCUAGUUUCUACUAGAUUGAGAGAGAUAGAGUGGAGGUGUAGAUCGGAGGAAGCCCGGCCUGUCGGUGUCUACUCCGAGCUUGUACCUGCGGGAUCAAGUUCUCCUAACCCGAGGCUUGCUCCUAGGAUUCUUCAGUAUUUCGACUUCUAAAUUCUAGUAAGUUCUUGUUUUAUUGUUCUUUUGGUUUAUGAGUUUACUUUAAUCUCUUCGCGUAGAGUUUAGAGUAAUCAUCUCUAGCGUAGACAUGGUGUUUAAGCUAUGAUACUCAUAGAUAUUCCCUGACUAUCUAGACCGUGGUAGUAGCGAGGAACGUGACAUUUCAGAGUUACCUUUGCAGACCAUAUCUCGUUAGCAGGAAGGAUAGGGUUUAUAGGUGCGGGUUGAACAUCCUUUGUGGUGUCUAGAUUCGGUUAGCCUCCCCAAUAGUACAGUAGAUCAUCCUUACCAAGGUUAGAAGGAGAUUACGGUUGUAGUCUUCUCUAUUUAUCACUCACAUCGAGAAACAUUCUUUGUUGCCUAAAGGAUUAGUAGUAAUAGACCGGGUUAGUCAGAUGCACUCUUUCUCCUAGUGGUAAAAAAUUAAUACGAUACUCUGGAUAACCUCCCGGGUGAAGUGCACACCGAUAUCCCUGCGCUUGCGGAUCAAUUCCUUAUUGCGUUCCCAAAUAUCAACAAGCAUUUCUGGCGCCGUUGCCGGGUAGAAAGACGGUUUGCAGAGAUAACCUUGAGUCUUACUACUAGCUUGUAUCUAUACUUUUAUCUUUUCUUAUCUUUUAUAUUCUGUAUUUAUUGUACUCUUACCUUAUGGAGAACCAAGAUUCUAAAUGAAUCUACCAAUUUGCAACACCUUCGGAAACUGAGCUUUUACCAUGGGAGUCAUCACAGCCUAUCCAAACAUCCCAGUAUAGGUUAAGUUCUAGGUUGAUUGCCAUGAUUCAAAACCUAUCUUUUUCGGGAAAGGAAGACGAAAACCCUUACCUUCAUAUUAGAGAUUUUGAGCAAACAUGUGAUUGUCUUCGCAUUGAAGGCAUUUCUGAUAAAACUUUACGUUGGAAGCUUUUUCCUUUUUCCUUAAGGGGAGAAGCUAGACAAUGGUACAUGUAAUAGAACCGCCCAAAUUAUAAGAGAUUAAGCCUAAUAGUGACCAUUGGCAUAGUCAAACCAUUGAGCUUAAACCCAUAUAAUCCCGGUAGUCCGUGAAAUCUCGAAGGAUUUCAAACCACAGAUCAUACAUACAGCCAAGAUCGUAAUAAGUUUAGCGGUCACCAUCCACAGUUACAUCCAGUUCGAAAACAUUUAUACAAUACAUCGGAGUGCUUAAAGUUAUUGCAAGCCAAGUUCAUAAGUAGUGGAAGCUUCAUAGUUCGAAAAUAACACACACAUGCUUAGUCUGAUACAGUGCCAUAAUUCGGUCAUUCCCACAAAAGCAAAAGAGGAGGUAGAGUGACCAUCGCCCUUGGUCUAGUCAUCACCCAUAGCUGGGUACAGGCAGAGGAUGCAAUAACCAUAGUACAUUUGACCAUCUGCAAAACAACAUGGGAGUAGAACCCUGAGUACGAGAAUGUACUCAGCUAGACUUACCCGUCAUAAACUCAAAAUAAAGACUCGUCAAGGAUCAUGAAGGCUAUAUAGUGGGGUAUCUCAUGACUUUUGCCUAAAAGCACUCUUCUGUUAACCAAAUUCUAUAGAGGUCCUUUUUCUUUUAAUUAGCUCAAGUUGAAGUAUCAUUACCUAUUAUCUAGGUUUGCACCUGUACUAUUACAAGCAAGUAUAGUAAUAUGAUGGUACCUCAUCAUAGCAUUCAUGCAACCAUUUAUCAUUAUAACCCAAAUGUUCCAUAGUCCUUACUACGAGGACAGGGCUCAUGUCAAGUGCUCACUAUCCAGGAGCGAUGGCGAUUCGAAUCGAUUUCUAACCAGCUGGCGAGGUAUUCCCCACACAAACGACACUCACUGAUCAAGUGAGCUACAGAUCACCGUGUUACACUAUCCAGGACCAAAUCGCGGGUUCGGCAGACACCGCCAGUACCCGAGGACUGUUCCGGCGACCGAGGUAUCCAAGGUAUACCAAAGUUGCGCGCCGCGCCCUCGUCGUUCUCCUCAACCAUCACCAAUACAGCGCAUGGCGGCUCGACUCCUAGCCCGGAUAGUGUUCAGGCUUCGCGGUCGGAACGACUUAUCCUUCUAGCUAAGUGUGGCGCAUGCGCUCAACAUGACAAGAGGGCCGUCAACGAUCGGUCCUUAAUCGACACAGGCAGGGGCACUAUAGUCAACCCACCAUAAGACCCUGCCUGGUCUCAAAUUCUGUUCCACACUUGGUUAUUCUUUCCCAAAGCAAUCACUGCUUAAUCAAGCAGGUAUCCACCUAUAUCUCGCAGGUGACAGGAAAUCACCCGACUUCUACCGGACUAAGCAAACUAAGAAUAGACUCCGUGCCUAUCUACAUAGGACAAGGUAGAUAAACGAGUAGGGAUAACAAAGAGUACAUAUGCAUCAAUGGUAUCAAGCAAUUCCUAGCACGUACAUGCAACAUAGUAGAACAAGCAUAGUAUAUCAUGUAAGUUAGCCAGAAUAGGGAGACUUAGAAUGCUCCGGGGCUUGCCUUUCUCAAACGUGCUGGGUCUGUGAUCUGGACACUCUAGUUCUUCUUCGGGUUCCGGUGCUCCCAGAGGUUCCUGCUCCUGGGUCCCCUCUGGCUCCUCGGGUCCCACCUCGUUCUCCUGCGAGCCUGUAUGAUGCAUGUGUGCUCAUGAGUGGAGUGCGAGAUGCCCGGGGUGAAAUGCUCAUGCGAGAGAAUACCAGAUGACUAUGACAUGAUGUAUGGAUGAUUUAUGUGAUCAAUUACAAGGUAGUCAAACAUCAUUCAAGAACAUGCAAUUGAAUUAAACAUCUAUUGCAUUCUCUUCUACAAAUUAUCUUUAAGUGUAACCAGCAACUCACAAGAUGCUUCAAAGAUACACCAAACCCCUUUUAUUCUAUUUAACCCAUAUAUAACAAUUCAUAAUUUCUUUAUUCAUUUCUAGGCCCAUCAAAAUUAGCAUGCAUUUCUGUUUAUCAAUAAAUUCCACAAAAAUUAUAGGAGACUACCAGUCAAACAUAAAUUCCACCAUAAAUUUUCCAUAAUUUUUGGACACUUAUUUUGAGCUACAAAAAUCACAAGAUUAAUUAAUAAAGGCAAGUACAAUUAUUCUACUGUGGUAUAAGUAUCAAACAGCAGAUUUCAUAUUUUUAUAAUUUGCUUAAUAUUAUAAGAAACACCCACAAAAAUUUCCAGAUUAAUUGCAUGAUCCAAUUUUUUUUAUUAAAAAUCAUAAACCACUGCCAUGCAAGCAUUUAAAUCACUAUAAAUUCAUUUAUACACCAAAUAAUGUGUAGCAACAUUUUCCCAGUGAUUAAAUAUACAUGCAGAGCCAACAAAACAAGUUUCAUAUUUUUCUAAGUCAUAUGGUAAUUACUAUGCAUUUUCCAAAUCCGGCAAAAACAUGGAUUAAAUAUAUUGCAUAGAAAAGUUACUCAAACAUGACAUGCAACCACACCAUGUUAUAGUUAUGGAAACAGAGAACACACCAAAAUUUAUUUCACAAAUUUUGGAGCUAUAAUUCUCAAGAUAUGGAUUUUUGAACAUUUAAACCAUUUUCUGGUAAUCAUUUUUCUGAAAAACAAAUCAAAUCCACUCCGGGACCAGCUAGGUGCACCUGGUGCAGUGCACCCGCGGUCGCUGACGAGCGGACCCGCCUGCCAGCCGGGCCCGCUGGCCAGGACGCAGAGAGGAAAGAGCUCCGGCGAGCCGGAGCUCACCGUCGGCGACCUCUUUCGGCGAAUCAAGUUGCCCUACACUCUCUACGGCUCAAGGCGAACCUAGCGCACUCUUUUGCGCGGCCUAAAAUGGACCGGACCAGGCUCGCGACCGGCCAUGGCGGAACGGCGGCACGGCUCGCCGCGGUCCGGCCACCACACGGCGGUAGAGCGCGCGCUUACGGCCGGAAUAGGUGCGCGAGGCCAAGACGAAGCUAACGCAUCAAAAAGUGAGAGAAAUAGUGGGGUAGAGGGGGAGAACCACGGAGACCGUGAGGUCGCCGGAGUCUCGACUCACUCCGGUGAGCUCUCCCGAGCGCACGGGACUCACCGAGCAUGGUAGAACGCGAGCACGGGAUGAGGAAGGGCGAGGCGGAGCUGGUGGUGGUCGCGGAGAGGAGGAAGAAGGCGGGAGCUGGUCGGGAGAGGUGCUCCACGUCGUCGGCGACGAUGGCGUGCGGCGGAGCGGCGGCUGCGGCGCGCGAGCGAGCGGAGGGCGAGAGCGCGAGUGGAGGAGCGCAAAUGGCUGCGGGGGCAGAGGCGGACGCGGCCGGGCGCUCCUGGUGGCCGACCAGGGCGCGUCCAGGCUGCUGCAUGCUCGCCACGCGGCGGCCAGGCUCUGCCGGCGCGCCACGGCGGCACGGCACGGCCGUCCGCGCGCGCGGGCACGGCGCGGGCGCUGGCGCGGGGAAGGGGGUGAGCGCGGGCGGGCUGGGCCGGCUUCGGCCAGUGGGCCAUAAGUGAGGCCGCGGUAUGCUAGCGCCCCCCUUUUCCCUUUUCUAUUCUUUUUUUUGAAUUUCUUUUCUCAAACUCUUUCUAAAUUCAUUUGGACUAUUUUAAAAUCAUUUUCACCUCUUUCUCCCAAAAUGAAAGUUGUUCCAAAACAAAAACCCUGCAACUUUGUAUUACUAAGCAAGACCAAAUUCCAAAUAGAAUUUGAAUUACAAAUUAAAACUAGUUCUAGGUUUUCAAAUAAAUUCAUUUUGGGGAUUUUUGUAUAAAUUCCAUUUCUCAAAUUCUAUGGCUCCAAAAAUUGUACAAAAAUACUCUUAAAUCUUCUUGCACACAAUUCAACCUAGUUUGAAUAUUUCACAAUUUUAGAAACAAGCAUCAUAUUUUUAACAUAUUUAAAUCACAUAGAAUAAAGCACAUAAAAUCACAUUUUUGGAUGCAUGACAUGCUCAAGUGAUGCUAUGCUUGAUGAGAAUGCUUAUGCAUGCUUUGGUAAGACUAAGUGCAUGCUUAACACCUAGGGUGUUACAGCCCUUCCCCCCUUAGGGAAAUCUCGUCCCGAGAUUUGAGUUACUAACCAUUUCUUAUGAAACUUGGGAUAAACAGUUUUUAGGUAAUCCUCGGUUUCCCAGGUGGCAUCCCUAUCGUUUUGAUGACUCCACACCACCUUGUAUGUUUUGACAACUCUGUUUCGGGUUACUCGUUCCUUGGAAUCUACGAUACCCACUGGCUGCUCUUUAUACUCUAAGUCUGCUUUUAUUUUGAUCCCUCGAGGUUCAAUCCUCUGCUCAGGUACCUUCAAACAUUUCCGUAGCUGGGACACAUGGAAGACUGGAAAGAUCGAACUCAAUUCUUCAGGUAACUGAAUCUUGUAGGCCACGGGGCCUUUUCUUCCAAUUUUUGAUACGGUCCCACAUAUCUGGGUGCAAGCUUGCUUCGAACUCGGAAACGUUGGACUUUCUUCAUUGGCGUAACCUUAAGGUACACAUAGUCACCUAUAUUGAAUUCAAGUGGCCUUCUUCUCUUAUCAGCAUAACUCUUUUGUCGCGAUUGGGCUACCCGUAUAUGCUGUCGUAUGAUUUGCACCUUUUUCUCCGCUUCAUUCACGAAGUCGAUACCAUAGUAUCUUCUUUCACUAGGUUCAACCCAGUUUAACAAAGUUCUACAUCUUCGACCAUACAACGCUUCGAAUGGAGCCAUCUUGAUACUCUCUUGAUAGCUGUUAUUGUAUGAGAAUUCAGCCAGAGGUAACCAUGACUCCCAUGAUCCCUUGGACGAUAGUACACAUGCCCUCAGCAUAUCCUCUAACACUUGAUUUAGCCUCUCAGUUUGUCCUGAGGUCUGGGGAUGAUACGCGGUGCUUCUUAUUAGACUGGUCCCCAAACUCUUAUGCAUUCGCUCCCAAAAGUGAGCGGUGAACUGUGGUCCUCUAUCCGAUAUGAUGGUUUUGGGAAUGCCAUGUAACUUGACGAUCUCUGCGAUAUAAAUAUCAGCAUACUCAUGAGGUCGGUAACGAGUUUUCACAGGAAUGAAAUGAGCCGACUUAGUCAAUCGAUCUAUGAUUACCCAAAUCGAGUCAUUCCCCUUCCUCAUCGUUGGUAAACCUGUGAUAAAGUCCAUACUGACCUCUUCCCAUUUCCACUCUAGAACUGAUAACGGUUGUAACAGACCUGCAGGUUUCAUAUGUAUAGCCUUGACUCUGCAACACGUGUCACAACGGGCCACAUAUGCGGCUAUUUCUUUCUUCAUCUUGGUCCACCAAAAGUGGGGUCUUAGGUCUUGAUACAUUUUACUACUGCCUGGAUGAAUAGAAAGCUUGGAGAGAUGGGCCUCAUCCAUGAUGCGAUUCUUCAAUUUUCGAUUCUUCGGAACUACUAGACGGUGCUGAAACCACAAUACCCCUUUCUCAUCAACUCGAAACUGAGUUUUUGGGUCAGCUUUGAUCUUCUCUUUGAUGUGGAAAAUACCCUUGUCUGUUUUCUGACCUUCAAUGACUUGACUCUCAAGUGAACAACUGAGCUGUAUGUGACAUAAGACUUCAGGAUGCAUGAGAUUGAAACCAUCUUCAAACAACGGUUGAAUCACCUGAUAGUGCGGUUUGCGACUCAAUGCAUCUGCUACCACAUUAGCUUUGCCCGGAUGAUAGUGAACCUCCAGAUCAUAAUCCUUGAUUAACUCUAACCACCGUCGUUGCCUCAUAUUCAGCUCGGACUGAGUGAAGAUAUACUUCAAACACUUAUGAUCGGUAUAGAUAUGACACUUAUUUCCCAGCAAAUAGUGUCUCCAAAUCUUCAAAGCAUGCACUACUGCUGCUAACUCGAGGUCGUGAGUUGGGUAGUUGCCUUCGUGCUUUCUCAACUGUCGUGAAGCGUAAGCUAUCACUCUGCCAUCUUGCAUCAACACACAUCCCAAGCCACUUUUUGACGCGUCGCAAAACACAUCAAAAGGCUUCUCAAUAUUGGGUUGCGCCAGAACGGGAGCGGUGGUUAGCAACUUUCGCAAGGUGCGGAAGGCUAGCUCACACCCCUCCGUCCAGACAAACUUAUGAUCUUUUCAUAGCAAACUAGUCAUUGACUUAGCAAUCUUGGAGAAGUCGGGUAUGAAACGACGAUAAUACCCUGCCAGACCAAGAAAACUUCUAACUUCCGAAACAGAAGUUGGUGCCUUCCAGUCCAUGACUUCCUACACUUUCGACGGAUCCACGGCGAUCCCUUCUUCAGAUAAAAUGUGCCCUAGAAAAGGAACCUUCUUCAACUAGAACUUACACUUGCUGAACUUUGCAUACAACUGAUGCUCUCGUAAUCGUGUUAGCACGAUUCUCAGAUGCUCGGCGUGAUCUUGCUCAUUUUCUGAAUAAAUCAGGAUAUCAUCGAUAAACACUACAACAAACUUAUCUAACUCUGGCAUAAAGACUGAAUUCAUCAGAUACAUGAAGUAUGCAGGAGCAUUCGUGAACCCAAAGGACAUGACCAGAUACUCAUACAACCCAUAUCUGGUGGAAAAAGCAGUUUUCGGGAUAUCUUGCGGGCGAAUCUUGAUUUGGUGAUACCCGGACCUCAGAUCUAUCUUGGAAAACACUUUUGCCUUGGACAACUGAUCAAAUAAGAUAUCAAUCCUUGGCAAAGGAUACUUAUUCUUGAUUGACACUGCAUUGAGUGGACGAUAGUCCACGCACAUGCGCAACGAUUGAUCCUUCUUUUUCACAAACAACACCGGACAACCCCAUUCUGAUGAGCUUGGCCGGAUGAAUCCUUUAUCUAGUAACUCCUUUAGUUGAUUCUUCAACUCCGUGAGUUCAUUUGGCAGCAUCCGGUAUGGCCUUCUGGAUAUCAGUGCUGUACCUGGUAUCAACUCGAUUGCAAACUCUACUUCCCUAUGUGGAGGAAGUCCCGGCAAUUCCUUGGGAAAAACAUCAGGGAACUCACAGACUACUGGGAUCUGUGGUAAUGGAACCACGUGCGUAGCACAAGAGACGCUAGCAAAGUCAAGGCGAUGGGGCAGAGGUACUUGAAAAGAGCUACUGCCCUAGGGUUCUCUGAGAGAUAACAUCCUCUUCCUAGUAUCUAUGACCGCAUCCCAUUCCCUCAUCCAGUUUAUGCCCAUGAUAACGUCCAGAACUAAUCCAGGUAUGACUACUAAAUUCACUCGAAACACCCAGCCACUUAUAUCCAGGGUUACCCCUCGGACCACUCUAUUUGUUAACACAUCUGCCCCUGCUGAGCUGAUACGGUAGCCAUAACCCAGAUCUAUAACUGGUUGAUCAUGCUUUUGUGCAAAUGCUUGGCUCAUGAAUUAAUGCGAUGAUCCAGAAUCAAACAAAAUAACUGCAAGAUGUUGGUUGAUAGGAAACAUAUCAGCUAUUACCGGUUCUCCUUCUGGAAUCUCCUCGAUCGAGGUAUGGUGCACACGAGCUGGAUAGAUUGGCUGUUGCCUCUUGGGGUAGGGACAUUCCGUAGCAAAGUGCCCCAUCUUGUGGCAGUUGUAGCACGGACCCUUGGUCGCAUUGUUGGCGGCAGGUGCCACAGCUUGAAUUGCCUUUGGCUUGGCAGGAGCUAUCGCCACCUUGUACGGCUUCUGCUGCGUUGGAUGCCCAGUGUUCCUUCUCUGCAGUGGUCGAAACCUAGCACCCGGGGCAGGAGGACGAUACUGCUGUCGUCCUGCCACUGGUGCCCUGAACUGGGAUGACCCGGCCUCAAAAGCUCUCUUACGAGACUUGGAUGCACUAUAGUGGUUGUUAUUGUUUUCUUGGGUCAAACAGUCACUGAUAUAGGCAUUGAAGGUAGCCCUGGCUCCUGUACCCAUGGUCUUCAGCAUCUUUGGAUUCAAGCCUCACUGGAAACUAGCAAUCUUCUUGGCCUCCGUGUUUACAAACUCAGGGGCGUAGCGAGCGAGAUUGUUAAAAGCGUGUAGAUACUCCUUUACAGACUUCGUUCCCUGAGACAACCGCAUGAAUUCCCCAACCUUCAUUUCUACCACACCCGGACGAAUAUAAUUUCCCCGGAACGCGGUGGUGAAGCGGUUCUAGGUGAUUGGGGUCCCCUCUGGGUAGGUGGUACGAUGAUGGGACCACCAAAUCCCAGCAGGUCCCUGCAACUGAUGUGCUGCAUACUCAGCCUUGAGUUCUUCAGUCAUCCGAAGAAGACGGAACUUCUGCUCCAUGGUGUUGAUCCACUCAUCCGCCUCAAGCGGUUCCAACGCCUCCUUGACGACAGGUGGCUUGGUAUCCAUGAAGUCUUUGAAAGAGCUGUACUGGUUGACUUCACGACCGCCUUGGUUAUCCCCACGACGGGUGUUGUCAGCUAUGUUACAUAGGGCUUCUUCCAUAUUGCGCUGCAUCUGCUCCAUGUUGCGUUGGCUCCCCAGAAACUGUGCGAAAAACACGUCUGCAGUGUACGGAGGAGGCGGUGGUGGUGGCGGUGAUGGUGCUCUUUCUUCAUUCCGUUGAGCCCCACCUCCGGAGGCACCUGCUCCAAGACCGGGGUUACUGUUACCCCCGCCACGUGUUUGCACCAUCUGCAUAUGUCAAUGAUAAGCAAUCGUUAGGAGUUGCCAUCAACGGUAGACAUGUGUAGAAUUAUGCCGUACUGAAUUUACUGAGGAAAUAAAUUCGCACAAUAAACAGAGGCACAACAAUUCAUUAUCCACAUACAACAUCACUAACAAAUCACUUAACAUUCAAGUAACAACGUUCGCAUACAUCCAAACUUGCCAGCAUACAUACACUGGACUUUCAGCGUCAUCUCAUAAAGUUUUACAUAGCCCAGUUCCAAAAGUACAAGACAUGCCAUGCAACAACAACAACAAAAGAAGAAGGACUAGCUCUAGAUACCUAGCAUCUACUCGUUAUGGUCACUGUCCAUGCCGGAGCCCUCCUCGUCCUCAUCUCCAAUAGCAGCUGCCCCUAUCUCGGGAUCCUCAUCCAUCUCGUCCUCAGAGUCUAACUCAGCUGCUCCAGGCAGGUGGUGAGGGUGGAGCUGGUUAUGCAGCUGGUGGAUCUCUUCAUGCAAGUUCUCAUUGUACUCCUCAGCAUUAGCUAGCUGCUGCUCAAGCUCUAGCUGUCGGGCCCUCAAAGUGUCCUUCUCGUGCCAGGCUUCAUUCCUCUGACCAAGCACAUGAACUAGCAUGCGCUCGCAGUUCCUGUGAGCAGUAGUCACCCUGUCUCUCUGCUCUCGCACUGCAAGCAAGUCCUGGCUCAGCUCACUGUUCUUCUAGACCGCUUGGUCCCUCUCGUGGGUCACGCGGGCCAACUCUGCCUGCAGCCUCUCAACCUCAGUGUCGAACUCACGCUGCAGCUGGCGCUUCUCAUCCUGGACAGUGAGAAGAGACCCGGACAAGCGACCCAAACAACGCUCCAGGCCUCCAUAGGUCUUCAUCAAAGCGUACAUAGCACUCAUAGCUGUGCUGUCACUAUGCUGGUCCUCAUCCGCACUCCUCUCUAGAGCGUUCACCUUGGACUGAUCCCACACCGAAGUGUAGGGGUCACCCCGGGGAAACACCCCAGCGAAGGCGUGGGCCAGCUCCUGUGGAAACCUCUCCAUGAGGUCCCUCAGAACUGCGAAAGCUGCCCUACUGGCACCGUGGAAAGGUGUGGUACCUCGGGACUCGUACACCCAACCGCCCCAGGCGGGGUCACCUCCACUGGUAGGGACCACUGCCUCGAUCCCCACCAGGGUCCCGUCACCAAGCUGCUCCUUAUCCCAAUAGUAGCGAGGCUCCCUUCCUUCGGGAUACCCCAUCGAACUGAGCACCCUCCAAAGCAAAGUAGGCAUCCCAAACUCCUCCAGGAACUUGCUCUUAUGACGCGAGCUCCUAGCUGCCAACGGAUGGCGAGGGGCCCGCCCACCAGUGGACUUGCGAGCGGUGAGCCUAGUUGGUGCCAUCUGCUGCAAAUGGAAUACCUUGGGUAAGAUCGAGGAUUAUCUUUAAUCAUUUUAUUUAGAAUUGGGACAGAUUAAAUUAAGGGGGAAAGUAAGCAAUGAUAUGAGAUGAACAUGAUGCAUGCACGGACUUAUGAUCUCACAAACUUAGAGACAAAAGUUAACACUAAGCGGUAUAUGCGGUGGCACACAGCGUUCGCUCAUAACGUAACUAGCGCUCUAACGUGGUUAGUGUACCUGCAGAAAACUCAUUUCAGCCCAACCACAGUAUGCUCAUGCAGAACAAGAAUUUAAAGCUAUACAUCCCACAUACACAGACACCCGUCCAUGCAUAUGACGUGUUACUACCCACAUCAUCGCCCUAAUGACGGCAUCGCCUCUCAGGACGGAAUUCCCAACAUGCGGUACUAUUUCCAAGCACACCAAAACAUGUGCGCAUGACACGGUACCUAACAACACUCCCCUAGACCGGCAGUGUAUCCGAUCUUGCUCUCACAACUCCCACUUAUUGGGACGUAGAGGAAAAAUUGAUCCAUACAUUACCACUCAAAUGAAUGGUACUCAUACUAUUGCACGCCGUAUGAGCGACGAAAUAAAAAAUAUGAUGCAUUAACCCCCAAGUCAGUACUUAACUAGCCACCUUAGAGUCCUUAACUGGGCAUAAAGGAUAUGACCAUGGCACACUAGAUAGUUUUUUUUCCAAAAACUUAGUUGACACCUUGAUUAUCAUUAAUAAAAAUCUUUUAUUAAACCGGUUUAGAUUUAGUUCAGAACGUACUUAUGAACAGUAACUCGCUAAACCUGGCUCCGAUGCCAGCUGUAACAGAACCGCCCAAAUUAUAAGAGAUUAAGCCUAAUAGUGACCAUUGGCAUAGUCAAACCAUCGAGCUUAAGCCCAUAUAAUCCCGGUAGUCCGUGAAAUCUCGAAGGAUUUCAAACCACAGAUCGUACAUACAGCCAAGAUCGUAAUAAGUUUAGCGGUCACCAUCCACAGUUACAUCCAGUUCGAAAACAUUUAUACAAUACAUCGAAGUGCUUAAAGUUAUUACAAGCCAAGUUCAUAAGUAGCGGAAGCUUCAUAGUUCGAAAAUAACACACACAUGCUUAGUCUGAUACAGUGCCAUAAUUCGGUCAUUCCCACAAAAGAAAAAAAGGAGGUAGAGUGACCAUCGCCCUUGGUCUAGUCAUCACCCAUAGCUGGGUACAGGCAGAGGAUGCAAUAACCAUAGUACAUUUGACCAUCUGCAAAACAACAUGGGAGUAGAACCCUGAGUACGAGAAUGUACUCAGCUAGACUUACCCGUCAUAAACUCAAAAUAAAGACUCAUCAAGGAUCAUGAAGGCUAUAUAGUGGGGUAGCUGAUGACUUUUGCCUAAAAGCAUUCUUCUGUUAACCAAAUUCUAUAGAGCUCCCUUUUCUUUUAAUUAGCUGAAGUUGAAGUAUCAUUACCUAUUAUCUAGGUUUGCACCUGUACUAUUACAAGCAAGUAUAGUAAUAUGAUGGUACCUCAUCAUAGCAUUCAUGCAACCAUUUAUCAUUAUAACCCAAAUGUUCCAUAGUCCUUACUACGAGGACAGGGCUCAUGUCAAGUGCUCACUAUCCAGGAGCGAUGGCGAUUCGAAUCGAUUUCUAACCAGCUGGCGAGGUAUUCCCCACACAAACCACACUCACUGAUCAAGUGAGCUACAGAUCACCAUGUUACACUAUCCAGGACCAAAUCGCGGGUUCGGCUGGCACCGCCAGUACCCGAGGACCGUUCCGGCGACCCAGGUAUCCAAGGUAUACCAAGGUUGCACGCCGCGCCCUCGUCGUUCUCCUCAACCAUCACCAAUACAGCGCAUGGCGGCUCGACUCCCGGCCCGAAUAGUGUUCAGGCUUCGCGGUCGGAACGACUUAUCCUUCCAGCUAAGUGUGGGGCAUGCGUUCAACAUGACAAGAGGGCCGUCAACGAUCGGACCUUAAUCGACACAGGCAGGGGCACUAUAGUCAACCCACCAUAAGACCCUGCCUGGUCUCAAAUUCCGUUCCACACAUGGUUAUUCUUUCCCAAAGCAAUCACUGCUUAAUCAAGCAGGUAUCCACCUAUAUCUCGCAGGUGACAGGAAAUCACCCGACUUCUACCGGACUAAGCAAACUAAGCAUAGACUCCGUGCCUAUCUACAUAGGACAAGGUAGAUAAACGAGUAGGGAUAACAAGGAGUACAUAUGCAUCAACGGUAUCAAGCAAUUCCUAUCACGUACAUGCAACAUAGUAGAACAAGCAUAGUAUAUCAUGUAAGUUUGCGAGAAUAGAGAGACUUAGAAUGCUCCGGGGCCUGCCUUUCUGAAACGUGCUGGGUCUGUGAUCCGGACACUCCUGUAGUUCUUUUUUGGGUUCCGGUGCUCCUAGAGGUUCCUGCUCCUGGGUCUCCUCUGGCUCCUCGGGUCCCACCUCGUUCUCCUGCGAGCCUGUAUGAUGCAUGUGUGCUCAUGAGUGGAGUGCGAGAUGCCCGGGGUGAAAUGCUCAUGCGAGAGAAUACCAGAUGACUAUGACAUGAUGUAUGGAUGAUUUAUGUGAUCAAUUACAAGGUAGUCAAACAUCAUUCAAGAACAUGCAAUUGAAUUAAACAUCUAUUGCAUUUUCUUCUACAAAUUAUCUUUAAGUGUAACCAGCAACUCACAAGAUGCUUCAAAGAUACACCAAACCCCUUUUAUUCUAUUUAACCCAUAUAUAACAAUUCAUAAUUUCUUUAUUCAUUUCUAGGCCCAUCAAAAUUAGCAUGCAUUUCUGUUUAUCGAUAAAUUCCACAAAAAUUACAGGAGACUACCAGUCAAACAUAAAGUCCACCAUAAAUUUUCCAUAAUUUUUGGACACUUAUUUUGAGCUACAAAAAUCACAAGAUUAAUUAAUAAAGGCAAGACCAAUUACUCUACUGUGGUAUAAGUAUCAAACAGCAGAUUUCAUAUUUUUAUAAUUUGCUUAAUAUCAUAAGAAACACCCACAAAAAUUUCCAGAUUAAUUGCAUGAUCCAAUUUUUUUAUCAAAAAUCAUAAACCACUGCCAUGCAAGCAUUUAAAUCACUAUAAAUUCAUUUAUACACCAAAAAAUGUGUAGCAAUAUUUUCCCAGUGAUUAAACAUACAUGCAGAGCCAACAAAACAAGUUUCACAUUUUUCUGAGUCAUAUUUUAAUUACUAUGCAUUUUCCAAAUCCAGCAAAAACAAGGAUUAAAUAUAAUUGCAUAGAAAAGUUACUCAAACAUGACAUGCAACCAUACCAUGUUAUAGUUCUGGAAACAGAGAACACACCAAAAUUUAUUUCACAAAUUUUGGAGCUAUAAUUCUCAAGAUAUGGAUUUUUGAACAUUUAAACCAUUUUCUGGAAAUCAUUUUUCUGAAAAACAAAUCAAAUCCACCCCGGGACCAGCUAGGUGCACCCGGUGCAGUGCACCCACGGUCGCUGACGAGCGGACCCGCCUGCCAGCCGGGCUCGCUGGCCAGGACGCAGAGAGGAGAGAGCUCCGACGAGCCGGAGCUCGCCGUCGACGACCUCUUUCGGCGAAUCAAGUUGCCCUACACGCUCUACGUCUCAAGGCGAACAUAGCGCACUCUUUUGCGCGGCCUGAAAUGGACCGGACCGGGCUCGCCGCGGUCCGGCCACCACACGGCGGUAGAGCGCGCGCUUACGGCCGGAAUAGGUGCGCGAGGCCAAGACGAAGCUAACGCAUCAAAAAGCGCGAGAAAUGGUGGGGUAGAGGGGAAAACCACGGAGACCGUGAGGUCGCCGGAGUCUCGACUCACUCCGGUAAGCUCUCCCGAGCGCACGGGACUCACCGAGCGCGGUAGAACGCGAGCACGCGAUGCGGAAGGGCGAGACGGAGCUGGUGGUGGUCGCGAAGAGGAAGAAGAAGGCCGGAGCUGGUCGGGAGUGGAGCUCCACGUCGUCGGCGACUAUGGCGUGCGGCGGAGCGGCGGCUGCUGCGCGCGAGCGAGCGGAGGGCGAGAGCGCGAGUGGAGGAGCGCAAAUGGCAGCGAGGGCAGCGGUGGACGCGGCCGGGCGCUCCUGGUGGCCGACCAGGGCGCGUCCAGGCUGCCGCAUGCUUGCCACGCGGCGGCCAGGCUCUGCCGGCGCGCCACGGCGGCACGGCGCGGCCGUCCGCGUGCGCGGGCACGGCGCGGGCGCUGGCGCCGGGAAGGGGGUGAGCACGGGCAGGCUGGGCCGGCUUCGGCCAGUGGGCCAGAAGUGAGGCCGCGGCCUGCUAGCGCCCCCCUUUUCCCUUUUCUAUUCUUUUUUUUUGAAUUUCUUUUCUCAAACUCAUUCUAAAUUCAUUUGGACCAUUUUACAAUUAUUUUCACCUCUUUCUCCCAAAAUGAAAGUUGUUCCAAAACAAAAAUCCUACAACUUUGUUUUAAUAACCAAGACCAAAUUCCAAAUAGAAUUUGAAUUACAAAUUAAAACUAGUUCUAGGUUUUCAAAUAAAUUCAUUUUGGGGAUUUUUGUAUAAAUUCCAUUUCUCAAAUUCUAUGGCUCCAAAAAUUGCACAAAAAUACUCUUAAAUCUUCUUAAACACAAUUCAACCUAGUUUGAAUAUUUCACAAUUUUAGAAACAAGCAUCAUAUUUUUAACAUAUUUAAAUCACAUAGAAUAAAGCACAUAAAAUCACAUUUUUGGAUGGAUGACAUGCUCAAGUGAUGCUAUGCUUGAUGAGAAUGCUUAUGCAUGCUUUGGUAAGACUAAGUGCAUGCUUAACACCUAGGGUGUUACAGUACAGUCAGAAGGUAAGUCAACAACGAGGUGAAUGGAGAGUUUUACGAUCCAACUUUUGUCUAGAUUUUUAUUCCCUCGACCGUAUCGGCGACCUUAGACUCGAAGUCCUAUCUUUUAAACAAAAAGAUAAUGAAACUUUGGGAAAAUCCUAGAAACGUUUUUCUGAUCUUUUAGAAUCUGGUCCAAACCUUACUCUUGAACACCCUAUUCUUUUAUUUCACUUUUUUCGAGGUCUUCAGAAAAAUCACAAACAAAUGCUACAUACAAUGUCUAGAGGUUCUUUCUUUCGCAUCACUACUGAUGAAGCUAGAGUGAUCCUAGAUAGAAUCCUAGAAGCUGAGAUGGAUAAUACCCUUCAUGAUGAAACCUACGAAGCCGAAGUAGAAACUCUGCCAAAUUCUUCAUCUACUUUAGCUAUCCCAAGUUCUGAGCCACAAAAGGAAGAAAUUCCACCACCGGACUUCAUGCUAGAUAUAGAAUCCGAUCUUUUUGCCGAUUUUGGAAACAUUUCAAACUACCAUUCUAUUGAAAAACCCCAAAAUGGCCAGUUUAGCAUUUAUUUGCCAAGUGAAUAUCAAUUAAGAGAGCUUAUCUCAGUCAUGAGUAGCGAGUGGUUGGAGGAAUCAGAGCUUUCCUCUGAUGUGAUCCGUUUGGACACACCCUCUAUAACUAUAAGCUGUGCUUAUAAUUCUGAUCGAUUUAAUGCUCUUUAUAAUCCUGUUGUGGGGAUCAACAUCAUGUCUGAAUCUUUUGCACUUAAAAUAUUUAAAAAUCUUGUUUUAACCCCCACAACAAAGGUCAUAAAGGAAUCUUCUGGACGAUUACUCCCCAGUCUUGGAAUUAUUAAUGUCCUACCUCUUACGGUAGAAGGCUCCAUGGUUCAUUUAAACUUCUAUAUCUUUGAUACAUGGGACUUCGACCUAUUGAUAGGACAACCUUUUAGAAGACUCCUUUAUGAAGGUCAUACUGGAAAGCUACACAUUUCUUUUGGAAAAGCUUUCAAAUUUCCCAUAAUAAUUUCACACUAUUUGAAUAAUAAGGCCGAGUCAUAUCUUUUGCCUGAUCCUAUGGAGAAGGUAAAGGCUGCAUCUCUUGAACUUUUAGAAGAAUCAAACUUAGAAGACGAAACUCCUUUCUUCAUAGAAGAAGCCGAACUUUCUGAACCUGAACCCUUAGAUGAGUUUGCAGAAACACCUAGACCCCGCAUAGAGCUUAAAACUUUACCACCCGGUCUUAUCUAUGCUUUCCUAAACAAUAAUCCAGAGUUUCCUGUGAUCAUUAGCGAUAAACUCACUCAGGAGCAAACUCUACGAUUAAUGACCAUUCUUGAGAAACAUCACUCAGUUUUCGGCUACUCACUCCAAGAUCUUACAGGAAUCAGUCCUAUGAUUUGUACCCUCGUAUUCCAACAGAUCCUUCUGUUUCACCUUCUCGAGAACCCCAACAUAGACUUAACAACACUAUGAGAGAGGUAGUUCAAAAGGAAGUUAUAAAGUUGCUGCAUGCAAGGAUUAUAUAUCCUGUGCCGCACAGUGAGUGGGUAAGCCCAGUACAAGUUGUGCCUAAAAAGGGAGGCAUGACUGUUAUUAUGAAUGAAAAGAACGAGCUAAUUCCGCAAUGCACCGUCACAGGAUGGCGGAUGUGCAUAGACUAUAGAAAACUAAACAAAGCCACGAGAAAGGAUCACUUUCCUUUACCUUUCAUAGAUGAGAUGCUAGAGCGAUUAGCGAACCAUUCGUUCUUUUGUUUCUUAGAUGGAUAUUCAGGGUAUCAUCAGAUCCCGAUCCAUCCUGAUGAUCAAAGCAAAACCACUUUUACAUGCCCAUAUGGAACUUAUGCUUACUGUAGAAUGUCUUUUGGGUUAUGUAAUGCACCAGCUUCUUUUCAAAGAUGCAUGAUGUCUAUAUUUUCUGAUAUGAUUGAAGAGAUUAUGGAAGUUUUCAUGGAUGAUUUCUCUGUUUAUGGAAAAACUUUUGAUAGUUGUCUUGAAAACUUAGACAAGGUUUUGCAAAGAUGUGAAGAAAAGCACUUAGUCCUUAAUUGGGAAAAAUGUCAUUUCAUGGUUAGGGAAGGAAUAGUGCUGGGACACCUAGUGUCCGAAAGAGGUAUUGAGGUAGACAAAGCUAAAAUUGAAGUAAUUGAACAACAACCUCCACCUGUGAAUAUAAAAGGAAUUCAAAGCUUUCUUGGCCAUGCUGGUUUUUAUCGUAGAUUCAUAAAAGAUUUUUCAUUCAUUGCUAGACCACUUACUCUUUUGCUAGCCAAGGAUGCUCCUUUCGAAUUUGAUGAUGCAUGUCUAACAUCUUUUAAUUUAUUAAAGAAAGCACUCAUCUCUGCACCAAUCAUUCAACCCCCUGAUUGGUCGUUGCCUUUUGAAAUUAUGUGUGAUGCUAGUGAUUAUGCUGUGGGGGCAGUAUUGGGACAAACUAAAAAUAAGAAGUGUUGAUAUUUGGUAACGCAAUAAGGAAAUGAUCCGCAAGCGCACGGAUAUCGGUGAGCAUUUCACCCGGGAGGUUUUCCAGAGUAUCGUAUUUAUAUUUUUACCACUGGGAGAAAGGGUGCAUCUGACUAACCAAAUCUAUUGCUACUAUCCCUUUAGGCUACAAAGAAUGUCUCUGGAUGUGAGUGAUGUAUAGAGAAGAUUGCAACCGUAGUCUCAUUCUAACCUUGGUAAGGAUGAUCUACUGUUCUAUUGGGGAGGCUCACGGAAUCUAGACAACACAAAGGAUGUUCGACCCGCACCUUUAACCCUACCCGUCCUGCUAACGAGAUGUGAUCUACAAAGGUAACUCGGAAAUGUCACGUUCCUCGCUACUACCACGGUCCAGCUAGUCAGGGGAUAUCUAUGAGUACCCUAGCCUAAACACCACGUUUACGCUAACAAGUGAUUACUCUAAUACUCAACCGGAAGAGGAUUAAAGUAAACUCAUAAACCAAAGAACAAUAAAACAAGAACUUACUAGUAUUAGAAGUCGAAUUACUGAAGAAUCUUAGAAGCAAGCCUCGGGUUAGGAGACUUGAUCCCGUAGGUACAACUCAGAGUAGACACCGACAGGCCGGCCUUCCUCCGAUCCACACCUCCACUCUAUCUCUCUCAAUCUAGUAGAAACUAGAAGAUCUAUUUCUACCUUACAUUGGUUGCUACGCCUAAAAAGAAAUAUUAUUUAGAGAAGAGGUUUUCCUUCGAGGGCACCCCUCAAUCUCUAUGAUAAUUUCUUGUCUUCUCCAGGGCCAGGGGGGCCUUGCUUAUAUAGUCCUCCCCUUCUAUGCGUUUUUGGGUCGAUAGGUGAGGUGGUACUAUGUUUUCCUUGAUCCAAUAGGUCGGUGGAACAUCCCGAGCGAAAGAGUCCUGAUUUGGCUCCAACAGGGGGGCGGGCGCCCAGGCUACCAGGGCGGGCGCCCUGGGCCUGGCCCAGUUUCGCCUCCGCUUCGGUCUCGUGGCUUCUGGAGUCUUCUAGAUGAUGUAAAAUCGUACGGUGCGUUGAUAUCUCUAUGUAAUCCCGACAUGUGGGCCUUUCUUCCUUAUUUCCUGAUAACCCCCUGCGGAAACAGAUAAACAACAAAACUCGUGGAAUUCUGUCAGAUCAAACCCUAAUUCUAGGUGUUGGUUGCAUUUGGAUCCUUUUCUUUGUUUAUUUGAUAAUUAAAUUUGAUACUUAAGGACCGUCAACAAACUCCCCCAAGCUUACCUCUUGCUCGUCCCUGAGCAAGGAUAGACUUAGCUAUGGAUCAUAAAUUGUUGCAAUAUUUUUAAAAAUUGAUGUUACACAUGCUUUUUAAAUAAAAUCUCAUCUCUGAGUUAGAGUAAACUAUCAAGACUUAAAACUUACUUUACCUUCACCAUGGGACUUGUAACCGUCACUUCUGUCUUGAGAGGUUAAAAGAUAGAACAGUCUAGCCAAGUGCCAUGUCUCUUAUUCUUGAUUAGCUAUAGCUCUAGAGUUUUUGCAGAUUUUCAAAUAAAACUCAGAGAUUCCUUGUAUGAUUCUCUCAGAUCUCUCUUUUAUGGUAUUUUUGGAUCCUUACCAAGGCAGUGAUGGUAUAUGCCUUCUCUCAAGAUAUGUAGUAUUUGUGGUAUGAAGCAUAGUGACAUUGUCUUCUCUCUCACCCUACUCUAAUAAGGCUUUAAUAUCUGGAGCUCAUAGGUGGGAGAUAAAGUAUACAUACUUACAAGACAUUUAUUGCAUAGUCAAACUAUGGAUCCAAAGAAACAAAUCAAUAAGCCAAAUCAAGAUGUGCAUGUGUGGCGAAUGAAUGGUGUAUGGUGAUGAUGGUGAUAACAAUGGUGAAAACAAUGGUGGUAGAAGUCUAAUUCUACUUUUGCUCUUUGAGGGGAUACAUACCUUCCUUGCUUUUGAAACUUUAUGAGGAGAAUGAGAUGCUCUUCUUUUUCUUUUCUGCGAGGUUCCGGGCACUUGCCCCUUUUUAUUUCCUCGUAUAUUAUUUAUUUUUUUUUCUUUUUUUUUCUUUCUAGAGCACUCAUCUCCUGAAAUAAUAUAGCAAGUGGUAGUAACCAAAAUAACUGGAGCAUUUAUUUCACAGGGAAUAACAGGGAUAGGAAAAUGUUUUUUGGCUUAUUCUCUCCCGGAUUAGGAGUAGAAUAAUUUUGGGUAAAACUGGAGAUGGAAAUGAGUGGAUAUAUGUGGAUGGUACUUCCGGAGUAGAAGUAGCAUAUAUGAGUGAACGUGCAAGUGAAUCUUGAUUUAACCACAUGACAAACUCCUAAGGGUCUACACAGCUUGACUACACUCAAUGCUCAUAAGCAGUAAAUAGUAAAUGUGUGGCUCAAGGUCUAGCAAGCAUGUAUAUAUGGCUGUGGUAGGAAUUUAAACUCUCAUCAUACAGGAACUCAUCAUGCAAUAUUUUAAAGAUUUUCAAAGAUAAAAUUCUCUAGAAUUCUAGCAUCUCUAGGAACAGAUAAACAGCAGCUCAACCUUCCCAUAUCGUAUCCGUUAACAACUUAGACUUCAGAUCAAGUUUUCAUCCCACAAGUUUAGGUCUAGAGCAAGCCUUAAAUUAUAACAGUUAUAUCUAAACUUGAGAGAGAACUUCAAAUUUGCAAAUUAGGCAGAGCAACUAUUCAUCAUAUCCAUGCUUAAGUUUUAUUAUUAAGAUUCAGAUUAGCAUAGCCACUUUAUUAAACACACUAAGCGAAAGAUAUAUAAGCAUAAAAUCUUUAUUUGGUUUUUCAUAGUUAUGUGUAUUUAUAUUCUAAUAUAGUAUAAGUAUAAAGAUAGAUAGAAAUACUUAUCGAGAUAAAUGGGGGUGCUCUCCCCCAAGCUGAAUUUUGACGUAAUUUCUCUUGAUGUAGCUAGCAGGUGGCAGAGGUAUGUUUGAAAGUCAGCAGUAUUUUGACAGCGAUUAGAAUGUCCUCCGUCUGCUAGUCUUCUUGAUUCUUAAAUUCUGUGGAGCUCAAAUAGACAACAAAGCUUGUGGAACUGAUUAAGUGUUAGCAUAAAUAUCUAGCUUUUAUCAUGUUGAGACUCCUUAAUAAAUAUUACUCCCUGUUUUUAUAUUUUUGUUUUCAUAAAGUAGAAAAAUAUUUAUUUUAUUUUUAUGCCACCACAGUGAAUGUACUUAUGGGUUUUAUGCCACUCGUCUACUCACAUGGGGCUUACUGUUUUUCACAUUUUUAUUUUCUUUUUAGGAUAAUACGAACAUGAUUAACUAAGUAAACUAUUUGAAAUAAUUGAAAGGGAAAGGAUAACUACCAAGUUUACCUCUUGGUAAGGCGUUCGGUGUUUUUAAGUCCUCCGAAUGGGACUCCUUGUGUUUUCAGUUGUCCUGGGAUUCGCUAGGUGGCGUAGUCGGUGGUUCCGACGGCGCUUCUUCUUCGUGUAUAACUAUCUUCUCUCUCCACACCUGACUCGGUGCUACGGUCUCCUCAGGAUAGUUGUAUUCAAGCUGUAUGUCUUCAGACCUUAUCACUUCUCCUUCGUAGUCUACCCAUCCGUCCUUGAUGAUCUGCCUCCUCUGGUUGCGGUUGUGUUGCCUUCUUCUUGUCCUGACCUGCUUAGAAUCUUCAACUAUAUAGUUAGAAUCAUUAAAGUAGUGGCGUACCUUCUCAGAGAGGAAGUGCAUGUGGACUUCUCCGGUUCCAAUAUAGAUGAUGGCUUUGAUAGUGUUGAGGAACGGUCUUCCUAGGAUGGUGGGUGGAUCAUACUCGUCUUCUCCCAUGUCAAUGACCUGAAAAUUUUCUGGAGCUGAAUGUAUAUUGGUUGUAGGGGCAUGGUUCCAUGCAAGAGCUGAUAAGUGACUGCGGCCAUUAUGUUGACGUCAGAUCCGGUGUCGUAGAGUGUCUUCUAAAAAGAGUAUCCAUUGAUUGUGCAUUCGAUGCUUGGAACACCAGGGUCGUCCUUCUUGAUUAGGAAAGGCGACUUGAGUCGACGAUCUUGACCUCCUCUAACAAGGAUCCGACGUUCUAAAUCUUCUGGACAAGACUUCUCACUGUCUUCAUCCUUUAGGUGCAUCAUUUGAUUAGGUGUGGACCUUGACGUCUGCACCUCUUGAUACGGUGUCACCUAUGUUCUUUGUUUGCCUAGCAGUUCGAAGUGCGGUGUUGGCAAUAUCCUGCUCAGUGUGUUUGUGCUUGUAGAUCUAGGUUCUUCACUUGGUGGAAUCUGGGAGUUGUAAAACUCCUUCAUGUUUUGCUUGAAGUGUACCUGUUCAUAGAGACAAGGCAGAGAUCAAGUGUAUGGGCCCUGUUGGUGGAAAACACCAACAGAACCAAAAGUGUAUUUGUUCUUCUCUAACCUUAAGCAUAGUGAGCAAGACAAAGUUGAUGGAUCAUGAGUGUAGCAUUUAAAACAUUUGUUAGAUCAGAUGGCUCAACCUAAUGGAAAGAUAAUUUAUCUAUAUUUAUGUUUAGUUUAUAUCUUCCAAAGAUUGAAUGUGCAAUACUUUAGCUUAUAUGAUUAGGAGUGUGGGAUCACGAAGGUAGUACUAAGAACAAAGAUUAAAGGACUAAACAUGUUGAAUUAAUUGGGUUGAUUAAUUUGGAGCUACAAUUCAUACAUGUUUGUCUCUUUAUUUUAUGUGAACGCUAGAACCAAGGAGAAGCUUAUAAAAGUGAUAGUCAAGUACCUUAAAAUGUUACCUUACUUGAAGAGUGACGGUACAGUAUCACCUUGUGGAAGCUUUCCUUUUUUAGCGGUUGUGCAUCGUGUUUGUGGCACCCUCCAUGGAUCAUCUCUUUAUGAUGAAUGAGCUAUGUCCUUCUUGUGCAAAUUGUUAAACUUCAUGUGUCUCCUUUAUCUCCAAUUAGUUUGUAUCUCAGGACUUCCCAGGUUGAUAUUGAAAGUUUUCCUACAGGGGUUAGUCCAAUAAAAUAUCCCAUAUCUACUAUAGCAUACUAUCGGCUCAAAAAUCAACCUAGACACCAUGUCUAAUUUGAUUUAGGAGGGCAUUUUAACCUAAGCACCAUGCUUAAUUUAAAAAUCCUUUGGAAGUAAGAUCAUCAUUCCUAAACUAAGCACCAUGCUUGAUUUAAGAGAUAAAUGAAACUACUCCAAACCUAAACAUAUACUAAAGCAAAUAAAGGUAGCAUGAGAGCAUUUAUAGCGAUCUACUCAAGUGGAGGUGAAGUAGUGUAAUUAGUACUUAACAAAUUGAGCAUCUCUGAAAGGUAGGGACAACCAACGUAGCAACAUGGCAAAUGAUGUUUUUAUGUAAAGUACUCCCCCAAGCUUGAAUUUUACAAAAUUCAAGUUUGGAUGAAUUUAAUUCAAUGUUGUGUGAUGGUUGGUUGGACAUACCUUGUGCUUGUCAUUCAUCCGAUCUUCUUGCUCCAAUCCUGGAAAGGUUAGUGACAAGAAUACCCGAAGGAAUAUUUCUACAAUUAUCUUUAUAUGCUCAAUACACAAGGCAAUGUUGCAAAUAAUUAGAAGUGCUUGUUUUAGGACACUAAGCUCGUCCUUGGGAAACCAUCAAUUAACUCAACGAGAUCUGCAAUAUUUAUUAUAGACAUAUGAGCAAGGACUGGGUAAGGUAUUUAUGAAAUAACUUCCAUGCUCACUGUUGUUUCUCUCAUUCUCAAACUCCAAGGAUGAUUCUUCAUGAAUGCUAAAAAUUCCUCUAGGGUUGUCUCUCAAGUUUGUUUUAUCUAUCCAUUUAAUGGUGAUAGCACAUGGAUUUUUAAUGCCCUCUAGCCAUUGAUGUUGCUCUUCUCGAUCCUCCUUCUUAUGCAUGGGAUGUCAAGAGAGAUUUAUAGGAUCAUCGGGAGGUUCAAGAGAAAGAGAAUAGUAGAAAUUGUUAAGCUCAAGGAUGGGUUGGAUAGCCGAAUCAUGGGAUUGAAAUGUUUGGAAAUUGGCUAUUAAAACUAACUUUCCUCGUCUGGGAGAUGAUUCCUUCUCUAUCUCUAAGAUUUUUCUAUGAAGACUAGUACAAGAAGGAUGUCCACAAAUGAAGACAUACCUUCCUUUACUAAUAGAUAAAGAAAGAAGGACUCUACCAAAGGUUAUAUGAUUAAGACCAAUGUGAAAAUAUCGAGAAAAAACAUGGUCUUGUAGGGCUAGGUCUAAACCAGAAUUUAUAAAAAGAUUAACAGAUUCCCUAGGUGUAGCUAGAAGUGCAUUAUCUUUUUGAUUAAAAGAUAGGACCUCGACUAUAGAAAAGGGUUGGUUUUGACCUAUUGCAAUCAACUCCGGACACAGAUCAUAAUUAGGGGCAGGACGUGUUGACUCCCAUGGUCUAUGGCUGGUCUCCGAAGGUGCAAAGAAUUCAGUAAUAGGUAUGGAAUAUAAGUUAUCCAUAAAGAUAAAAAUAAAAAGAUAAAAGAAUAAAAGUAUAAAAGUAUAAUACAAGAUAAUAGCAAGACUCAAAGUUAUCUCAGCAAACCGUCUUUCUCCCCGGCAACGGCGCCAGAAAUGCUUGUUGAUAUUUGGUAACGCAAUAAGGAAAUGAUCCGCAAGCGCACGGAUAUCGGUGAGCAUUUCACCCGGGAGGUUUUCCAGAGUAUCGUAUUUAUAUUUUUACCACUGGGAGAAAGGGUGCAUCUGACUAACCAAAUCUAUUGCUACUAUCCCUUUAGGCUACAAAGAAUGUCUCUCGAUGUGAGUGAUGUAUAGAGAAGAUUGCAACCGUAGUCUCAUUCUAACCUUGGUAAGGAUGAUCUACUGUUCUAUUGGGGAGGCUCACGGAAUCUAGACAACACAAAGGAUGUUCGACCCGCACCUUUAACCCUACCCGUCCUGCUAACGAGAUGUGAUCUACAAAAGUAACUCGGAAAUGUCACGUUCCUCGCUACUACCACGGUCCAGCUAGUCAGGGGAUAUCUAUGAGUACCCUAGCCUAAACACCACGUUUACGCUAACAAGUGAUUACUCUAAUACUCAACCGGAAGAGGAUUAAAGUAAACUCAUAAACCAAAGAACAAUAAAACAAGAACUUACUAGUAUUAGAAGUCGAAUUACUGAAGAAUCUUAGAAGCAAGCCUCGGGUUAGGAGACUUGAUCCCGUAGGUACAACUCGGAGUAGACACCGACAGGCCGGCCUUCCUCCGAUCCACACCUCCACUCUAUCUCUCUCAAUCUAGUAGAAACUAGAAGAUCUAUUUCUACCUUACAUUGGUUGCUACGCCUAAAAAGAAAUAUUAUUUAGAGAAGAGGUUUUCCUUCGAGGGCACCCCUCAAUCUCUAUGAUAAUUUCUUGUCUUCUCCAGGGCCAGGGGGGCCUUGCUUAUAUAGUCCUCCCCUUCUAUGCGUUUUUGGGUCGAUAGGUGAGGUGGUACUAUGUUUUCCUUGAUCCAAUAGGUCGGUGGAACAUCCCGAGCGAAAGAGUCCUGAUUUGGCUCCAACAGGGGGGCGGGCGCCCAGGCUACCAGGGCGGGCGCCCUGGGCCUGGCCCAGUUUCGCCUCCGCUUCGGUCUCGUGGCUUCUGGAGUCUUCUAGAUGAUGUAAAAUCGUGCGGUGCGUUGAUAUCUCUAUGUAAUCCCGACAUGUGGGCCUUUCUUCCUUAUUUCCUGAUAACCCCCUGCGGAAACAGAUAAACAACAAAACUCGUGGAAUUCUGUCAGAUCAAACCCUAAUUCUAGGUGUUGGUUGCAUUUGGAUCCUUUUCUUUGUUUAUUUGAUAAUUAAAUUUGAUACUUAAGGACCGUCAACAAGAAGCAUCAUGCAAUUGCUUAUGCCAGUAAAACUUUGACAGGAGCUCAACUUAACUAUGCAACCACUGAAAAAGAGCUUCUGGCUGUUGUCUUUGCCAUUGACAAAUUUAGAUCUUAUUUAUUUGGAGCUAAAAUAAUUGUUUACACUGAUCAUGCUGCACUAAAAUAUUUGCUCAGUAAAAAAGAUGCUAAACCUCACCUGAUUAGAUGGAUCUUAUUACUUCAAGAAUUUGACUUAGAAAUAAAAGAUAAAAACGGAGUAGAAAAUUUUGUUGCUGAUCACUAGUCUAGAAUGUAUUUUAAGAAUCCACAGGAAACCUCCAUCAAUGAUUCACUCCGGGACGACAUGCUCUACAGGAUUAACAGGUCUGACCACUGGUAUGAAGAUAUUGUUAAUUUUAUGGUUUCAAGGUAUGUACCACCAGGAGCAAAAAAGAAGAAGCUUAUUCAAGAAAGUCGUUCACAUAUAUGGGAUGAGCCAUACAUCUUCCGAGUAUGCUCUGAUGUCUUACUCAGGAGAUGUGUGACCACUGAGGAAGGAUGGAAGAUCAUCGACAGAUGUCAUUCAUCACCAUAUUGAGGUCACUAUGGAGCAUUCCGUACACAUUCAAAGAUCUGGCAGUGUGGAUUCUACUGACCUACAAUGUAUGAAGACACGAAGCAAUAUAUCAGAAGAUGUGGGCCAUGUCAAAGGCACGGAAACAUAAAUACAAGGGAUGCAAUGCCACUCACCAACAACCUUCAGACUGAGGUCUUUGAUGUCUGGGGAAUAGACUAUAUGGGUCCAUUUCCUCCAUCAAAGAAGUGUGAAUACAUCUUGGUGGCAGUUGACUACGUCUCCAAGUGGGUAGAGGCAUUACCUUGCAAGCAUGCCGACAACAUCAGUUCAAAGAGGAUGUUUGAAGAAAUUAUAUUUCCAAGAUUUGGAGUCCCCCAGAGUAGUGAUAAGUGAUGGAGGUGCACACUUCAUCGACAAACGCUUCAAGCAAUAUCUAUCAAAACAUGGAAUCCGUCACAACGUCGCUACACCCUAUCAUCCUCAGACAAGUGGCCAAGCAGAGACUUCCAAUAAGCAAAUCAAGAAUAUUCUUCAGAAGACAGUCAAUGAAAUGGGAACGACAUGGAGAGACAAGUUACCCGAUGCACUCUGGGCAUACCGGACAGCAUAUAAGACUCCAAUUGGAAUGUCUCCAUAACAAUUGGUGUACGGGAAGACUUUCCACCUACCUGUUGAACUAGAUUUCAAAGCACACUGGGCCAUAAGAGAUGGAAUAUGGACCUAGAUGUUGCUGGAGAUCAUAGAAGAAUGCAACUAUCAGAAUUGGAAGAAUGGCGAGAGAAAGCAUAUCACAAUUCGAAGAUCUAUAAAGAAAGAGUAAAAAGGUGGCAUGACAAGAGGAUCAAGAAGAAGGAGUUCACACCCGGAGAUAAGGUAUUACUUUUUAAUUCCAGGGUGAAGCUUUUCGGGCAUGGAAAACUCCGAAGUAAAUGGGAAGGACCAUUCAAGGUAAUUAAUUCAUCAUCCCACGGAGCUAUCACACUUCAAAAUGAUGAAGGUACGUUAUUCAAGGUAAAUGGUCAACAUUUUAAAUUGUUUUUAGAGCCCAAUAAAGAAUUAGAAGAAAUAGACAUAAUCCAUUUUUUUCUUCCCAUGGAGAAUUAGAGCCCGACCUUUUUAGUCUUACGUUUUUGGGUCAUAUAUAUAUUUUCCUAAUUAAGUCUACAUCUAGAAACACGCUCGAGGAAGCGGGCCCACAGAGGAGACAAAGAGAGGGCGGGCGCCCUGAUCAAGUGGGCGGGCGCCCAGCCCCUGUUCCCCUUCGGUCCCGAUUUUCUCUGUUAUGGAAAAUGCACUUAUGGUAAUCCGAAUAAUCCCUCAGAUGGAAAUUUUCGCACGCACAUCGACGGGAGCAACCAGAACAUCCCCUAGAGGCACUUUUUGACCCCUAUAUAAAGAGACCCCUGACAUCAGUUUUCAAACACCAAUCCACCAAGCCUUCUCUUCUUCUUCAAUUAGAGCUUGUUUAGUUCCUCGCUGCUCCAAUGGCCGAGAAGUUCCAUGAUGAUUGGGAAGUCGUCCCCUUCAACCUCAACAUGGAGCCUGCGGAAGACCCCGAUGCCCGUGCUCUCGUCCCGGCCAACACAGAGCGACAGCUAGAAGCCAUGCCAUUACGCCAACGCAGCUCCGCCCAAUCCUAUCAUGCUCAACCAGUUCUCACCGCACCGCCACAACCCCUACUCCUCAAGGGAUCAUCAUCCAAGACGAAGACCACCAUCAAGGUGCCAACCGGCACGAGGAUCCUUCCACCUAGACCCAAUGAGAGGGUCGCUGGAGUUAAGACCAACCGGAGCAGCGAGAUCAGCAGCAUUCGCUACACUACGGAGGAGGAGAGGCCUUACUUCGAAGGGAUUAGAGCAGCCAAAGUCCGUUUCAUCCCUCCAAAGGCAGCCCCAAAGCAUGCUCUCAAUGCUUUUGAGACACCUCCCAAGCGUCGCAAGACUAUAGUGGAUAUUGAUGAGGACAUUCGCAGGCUAGACAGAGUUAUCAUAGACCUCUAGUCCUCAGUUAAUUCCCUCACUAGGCAGCUCUCUAACCACAACACCGUAAUACUAGGCCUUAGGUAGGAUCUUGCCAGUGCCAAUAAGAAGAUCAAGGAAUUAGAGCGCCGCUAAGUUAUCUAGAUUAGACCUUGAGGCAAUGCAUCUUAGUCAUUUAUCUUUAAAUCCAGUUUAGGUUUACUAUUAUUAUCAGUUUGCUACUAUUAUCGUCAGUUUGCUACUAGUUAUUUGUAAUAAAUGCCUCAAGGUUAAUAAAGAGUAUUAUUAUUAUUAUGUCUUGUGUGUCUCUACUUUAUUCUUGUGCAAGAAAGCAGAAAACAAGUAUGGGGGAGAUCCCUCGACAUGCCAAACACACUUCGACUACACCACUCCACGAUUCAGGUACACACUCUGCACACUUUACACAUACACAUAUACAUCUUGGAUUAAGCAGAAUACUGUUUCCGACACGAUAAAUUAACAAGCUUAAAAUGUUUCUAAAUAUGAUUAAUCUCACUCUGUGAUAUUUUCUGAAUCUUGCAAUUAUUGAAAAAUCAUUUUAAAACCCUCUGUUACUUAAGUCAUUGUGGACUAUGAGAUGGUAGAGUAUGAGUUUCUUAUUCUUGAUAUCAUUGUUGCUUGGAGAAUUUAUUUCAAAAUUUAUUCAAAAUUCUAGCUACCAUCCUUUGUGUUUUAUAUGCCUACUAAAACUGAAAAUAUUAAUUAUGAUUAUAAAAGCUAUCUACUCUAUAUUGAGUUUGUUCAAAAUGACUUAGACCCUUGUUGAGAGAUUUAUCAUGCUCCUAAGAUCAAGACAUUAUUCAGAAAGAUUCACUCUUCCGAAGUAUUAUUGCAUUAGAGGCAUGGGCUAUGCAAAAAUAAAGAUAUUUCAAGGAAAUAAAAAGGAGCAAGUGCUCGAUAACCUCGUAGAAAAAAUGGACAAGUGUCCGGUAGUAGAAUUAGGGGUACCUCAGUAUCCACUUAAAAAAAGAUAAAAUAAGAAAAUGAUAGCCUGUGGUCCCUCUAAUAAUCAAUAUGCCAACAAGAGUUGACAAAGAUUUUAAUUUCCAAAGUCAUUGAUCUAAGAGUAUGACAUUCCCCUCCUCGGAUCCCGUUUUGAUCACACAAUAAAUGCAAAGUAAAGUAUGCUUGAGAAUUUUUGCAAACUAAAAUAGCCUCAGUGAGAUAUAUAAAAGAUAAAUGAGUGAUCUGAGAGAACCUAUGAGCAUAAAGGUAUGCUAACUUUCUUUUCAAAAAUAUACAAAAACUCCAAGUGACAGGAUUAAGAAGAAAGGAUCUUUACUCUUAACCAUAUACUUCCCUGACUACAGUACAUAGUGGAUUUUAACACCCUGCAGUUAUGAAGAGAAUGUUUUAAAAUGUUUUACCCCAGAUAUUGUUCUUAACCAUCCUUUUCUCAAGGAUGAGUAAAAGCCUAAGUAUGGGGGUAUUUGUUGACAGUUCUUAAGUAUCAAUUUUAAUUAUCAAAUAAACAAGAGAAAGCACCAAUAUGCAACCAACACCUAGAAUUAGGGUUUGAUCUGACAGAAUUGCACGAGUUUUGUUGUUUAUCUGUUUCUGUAGGGGGUUAUCAGGAAAUAAGGAAGAAAGGCCCACAUGUCGGGAUUACAUAGAGAUAUCAACGCACCGCGCAAUUUUCUACCAUCUAGAAGACUCCAGAGGCCACGGGAAGGAAGCAGAGGCCGAACAGAGCCAGGCCCUGGGCGCCCGCCCAGUUGACCUGGGCGCCCGCCCUCUGUUGGAUGCCAAUCAGGACUCUUUUCGCACACGACGCUCCAUCGACCUAAAGGAUCAAGGAUAACGGUCUAAUCAAUGUCGGUUUGAUCCAAUGGCUCACGUUCACUUGAGGGGACUAUAAAACCAGACCCCCUGGCCCUGGAGGAGACAAGUUUAUCAUAGAGUUGAGGGGAGCCCUCGAAGGAAAACCUCUUCUCUAAAUAAAAUUUCUUUUUAGGCUUAGCAACCAAUGCGAGUAGAAAUAGAUCUUCUAGUUUCUACUAGAUUGAGAGAGAUAGAGUGGAGGUGUAGAUCAGAGGAAGCCUGGCCUGUCGGUGUCUACUCUGAGCUUGUACCUACGGGAUCAAGUUCUCCUAACCUGAGGCUUGCUCCUAGGAUUCUUCAGUAUUUCGACUUCUAAAUUCUAGUAAGUUCUUGUUUUAUUGUUCUUUUAGUUUAUGAGUUUACUUUAAUCUCUUCGCGUAGAGUUUAGAGUAAUCAUCUCUAGCGUAGACGUGGUGUUUAAGCUAGGAUACUCAUAGAUAUUCCCUGACUAGCUAGACCGUGGUAGUAGCGAGGAACGUGACAUUUCCGAGUUACCUUUGCAGACCAUAUCUCGUUAGCAGGAAGGAUAGGGUUUAUAGGUGCGGGUUGAACAUCCUCUGUGGUGUCUAGAUUCUGUUAGCCUCCCCAAUAGAAUAGUAGAUCAUCCUUACCAAGGUUAGAAGGAGAUUACGGUUGUAGUCUUCUCUAUUUAUCACUCACAUCGAGAAACAUUCUUUGUUGCCAAAAGGGUUAGUAGUAAUAGACUGGGUUAGUCAGAUGCACUCUUUCUCCUAGUGGUAAAAAAAUAAAUAUGAUACUCUGGAUAACCUCCCAGGUGAAGUGCUCACCGAUAUCCGUGCGCUUGCGGAUCAAUUCCUUAUUGCGUUCCCAAAUAUCAACACCAUUCCCCUAAAACCAAUAUACAUUCAGCUCUAGAUGGCAGAUCAGACAUUUCGAGAGGUUAAAGGAAUAGUAACUGAUGUUCCUAUCAAAAUAGAUGAUCAUUUUGUCUACACAGACUUUUAGGUUAUUGACAUGGGAGAAGACGAAUACGAUCCACCCAUCAUCCUUGGACGACCGUUCCUCAGCACCGUUAAAGCAAUCAUCUACAUUGGAACGAGAGAAGUCCAUAUGCACUUCCCCUCAGAGAAGGUACGCCGCUAUUUUACUAAACCUAACUAUAUCAUUGAAGACUCUAAGCAGGUCAGAAAACAACGCAACCGCAACCGGAGGAGGGAGAUCAUCAAGGACGGAUGGGCAGACUAUGAAGGAGAAGUGAUAAGGUCAGAAGACAUACAGUUUAAAUAGAACUAUCCUGAGGAGACCGUAGCACCGAGUCAGGUGUGGAGAGAGAAGAUAACUAUACAUGAAGAGGAGGCGACGCUGGAAGUACCGACUGCGCCACCCAACGAAUCCCAGGACAACUAGAAAAUGGAGAGUCACGUUCGGAGGACUUAAAAACACCGAACGUCUUGCCAAGAGAUAAACUUGGUAGUUAUCCUUUCCCUUUUAAUUAUUUUAAACAGUUUGCUUAGUUAAUCAUGUUCAUACUAUCUAAAAAAAUAAAAAUGUUAAAAACACUAAGCCCCAUGUGAGUAUACGAGUGGCAUAAAACCCAUAAGUAAAUUCACUGUGGUGGCAUAAAAAUAAAAUAAAUAUUUUUCUGCUUUAUAAAAUGAAAAUAUAAAAAUAGAGAGUAAUAUUUAUUAAGGAUUCUCAACAUGACAAAGGCUAGAUAUCUAUGCUAACAACUAAUCAGUUCCACAAAGCUUUGUUGUCUAUUUGAGCUCCACAGAAUUUAAGAAUCAAGAAGACUCGCAGACGGAGGACAUUCUAAUCGCUGUCAGGAUACUGCCAACUUUCAAAUACACCUCUACCACCUGCUAGCUACAUCAAAAGAAAUUACGUCAAAAUUCAGCUUGGGGGAGAGCACCGCCAUUUAUCUCGCUAAGUAUUUCUAUCUAUCUUUAUACAUAUACUAUAUUAAAAUAUAAAUAUACAUAACUAUGGAAAACCAAAUAAAGAUUUUUGUGCUUAUAUAUAUAUCUUUUGCUUAGUUUAAUAAAUAAAUAAAGUGGCUAUGCUAAACUGAAUCUUAAUAAUAAAACUCUAGCAUGGAUAUGAUGAAUACUGCCUAAUUUUUAAAAUUUGAAGUUCUCUCUCAAGUUUAGACAUAACUAUUAUAAUUUAAAGCUUGCUCUAAACCUAAACUUGUGGGGAGAAAACUUGAUCUGAAGUCUAAAUUGUUAUCGGAUAUGAUAUGGGAAGGUUGAGCUGCUGUUUAUCUGUUCCUAGAGAUGCUAGAAUUCUGGAGAAUUUUAUCUUUGAAAAUCUUUAAAAUAUUGCAUGAUGAGUUCCUAUACGAUGAGAGUUUAAAUUCCUACCACAGCCAUAUAUACAUGCUUGCUAGACUUUGAGCCAUAUAUUUACUUUACUACUUAUGAGCAUUGAGUGUGGUCAAGCUGUGUAGACCCUUAGGAGCUUGUCAUGUGGUUAAAUCAAGAUUCACUUGCACGUUCACUCACACAUGUUGCUUCUACUCCGAAAGUACCAUCCACAUACAUCCACUAAUUUCUAUAUCCAGAUUCACUCAAAAUUAUUCUACUCCUAAUCCGAGAGAGAAUAGCCAAAAAUAUUUCUACUGUGAAAUAAAUGCUUAACUUAUCUUUGUUACUACCACUUGCUAUAUUAUCUCAAGAGAUGAGUGCUCUAAAAAAAAGAGAGAGAGAUACGAGGAAAUAAAAAGGGGCCAGUGCCCGGAACCUCGAAAGAAAAAGUGAGACGAGAGGUAAAAAUGGACAAGUGUCCGACAGUAGAAUUAGGGGUACAAGAUACUCACCUGGGAGGAAAGAAAAGGAAAAUACAGAGCAUCUCAUUCUCCUCAAGUUUCAAAGAGCAAGAAAGGUAUUUAUCCCCUCAAAAGAGCAAAAGUAGAAUUAGACUUUCACUAUUGUUAUCACCAUCAUCACCAUAUACCAUUCGCCACACAUGCACAUCUUGAUUUGACUUAUUGAUUUGUUUCUUUGGAUCCAUGGUUUGACUACACAAUAAAUGUCUUGUAAGUAUGUAUAUUUUAUCUCCCACCUAUGAGCUCCAGAUAUUAAAGCCUUAUUAGAGUAGGGUGAGAGAGAAGGCAAUGUCACUAUGCCUUAUAUACCACAAAUGCCACAUAUUUUGAGAGAAGGCAUAUACCAUCACUGCCUUGGUAAGGAUCCAGAAAUACCACAAAAGAGAGAUAUGAGAGAGUCAUACAAGGAAUCUCUGAGUUUUAUUUGAAAAUCUGCAAAAACUUUAGAGCUAUAGCUGAUCAAGAAUAAGAGACAUGGCACAUGAUUAGACCGUUCUAUCUUUUAACUACUCAAGACAGAAGUGACGGUUACAAGUCCCAUGGUGAAAGGUAAAAUGAAUAAGUUUUAAGUCUUGACAGGUUAUUCUAACUCAGAGAUGAGACCUCAUAUUAAAAGCAUGUGUACCGUCAAUUUUUAAAGGCAUUACAACAACUUUUGAUCCAUCGCUGAGAUUAUCCUUGCUCAGGGACGAGCAAGAGGUAAGCUUUGGGGAGUUUGUUGAUCGUCCUUAAGUAUCAAAUUUAAUUAUCAAAUAAACAAAGAAAAGGAUCCAAAUGAAAUCAACAUCCAGACUUAGGGUUUUAUUUGACAGAAUUCCACGAGUUUUGGUGUUUGUCUAUUUCUGCAGGGGGUUAUCAGGAAAUACGGAAGAAAGGCCCACACGUCGGGAUUACAUAGAGAUAUUAACGUGCCGUGCAAUUAUCUUACAUCUAGAAGACUCCAGAAGCCACGGGAACGAAGCGGAGGCCGAACGGGGCCUGGCCCUGGGCGCUCGCCCAGGAGACCAGGGCGCCCGCCCCCUUGUAGAGUCCAAUCAGAACUCUCUUUCGUGAUCAAGCUCCACCGACCUAAAGGAUCAAGGAUAACCAUUCAAUCAAUGUCGGUUUGAUCCAGUGGCCCAUAUUCACUUGAAGGGACUAUAAAACCAGACCCCUUGGCCCCUGGAGGAGAGAGCCUCUCAACCCUAAUUCAUUAUUCCUCAAGGGAGAAGAAGCCUCUGAUCAAGCCUAGAGCCACCACAUCAAUUAGACAUCUAGAUUAGCAUAGCUACAUAGGAUUAGAACUAGAAGGAGUCAAUCUUCGAUUGGUUUCCGGAUCUGUCAAGAGGAUUCUUGGUAAUUCUCUAAUUGUUCUUCUAAUUGUUCAUCUUUGUUCUUCAAUAUUAUGAAUACGACUUUGUUCUACUUCAAUAUAUUGCUUAUGACUUUCCUCUACUUGUUUAUAUUCAAGAUUAUAUUGUUCUUAGUCUAUCAUAGUUAUAUACUUAGCUUAGUUAGAUUGGAUCUAUAUACAUGUUUAGGAUCGUAUAGCGUUUAUCCAUUGGAUCCAUGGGUAAAUGAUAGAUAUUGUGUAGGCGUGGUGCUUAUACCGUAUUUAUCUGCGAUUGUACCCAAUAUGCUAGAUCGUGGGGUAGUUCGUGAUAGUGAUAGCUUCAUUGAUUCUUAUAUAGUCCCCCUCUCGUGUAUCAGGCUGGCAGAGCAAUAUUAUUACAGGGGAGUGAUUACGAUGUUUCUCAUAUUCCUUGCUAAUAUCACUAUGCAUUGGCGUACUCCUUUCUCGCAAUGAUUGCUAAGUAUGCUUGCACUAACUAUGAUAAUGCUAGACUGUAUAGUUAAGAAUAACUUAGAAAAUAUUCUUGUAGUUCGUUCUAAUACCAUGCUAAUGACUUGCUAGAAUAUCUAAUUGAGGUGCUUAUCAUAUUUAUUAUGUGGCUAAACUAUGCUGAUCAGAUUGUCACUAUUCAUUACUUUAUAUAUCCUUUAUGUGACACUUAUCCCUGUAUGAAAGAGUUAGAUAAAUGUUCUCAACUAUACAUGCAAUGAUAGAUACUCAAUCUCAUAUUUCAUUCUAUAAUCAACAUUGAUGAUUACUAAUCCCUUCCCAGUGGUAAAAAUAUAAAUAACGAUACCUGGAAUACUUCUCGGUUAAAAUGCUACAUCAGUAUUAAUCCGUCCGCUUGCAGAUCCCAUUCAUUAUUUAUUUAGAUGAGCAAUUGCAUAUUUCAAUACCAUGUCUUUCAUGUCAUGCUGGGGAUGACAACUUGGCUUAAGUGGUAUGGGAGAUAGGUUUGGCAUUUUUGGCACCGUUAUCAAAAUUAGAAAACUGUCUACUUUUGGUAGUGAUGUUAAGAAUACCCAACACAUUGCUAGCGUAAACGUGGUGUUUGGGCUAGGGUACUCAUAGUUAUCCCCUGACUAGCUUGACCGUGGUAGUAGCGAGGAACGUGACAUUUCCGAGUUACCUUUGCAGCCCACAUCUCGUUAGCAGGUCGGGUAGGGUUUAUAGGUGCGGGUCGAACAUCCUUUGUGGUGUCUAGAUUCCGUGAGCCUCCCCAAUAGAAUAGUAGAUCAUCAUUACCAAGGUUAGAACGAGACUACGGUUGUAGUCUUCUCUAUACAUCGCUCACAUCGAAUCACAUUCUUUGUAGCUUAAAGGGUAGUAGCAAUAGAUUUGGUUAGUCAGAUGCACGCUUUCUCCCAGUGGUAAAAAUAUAAAUACGAUACUCUGGAUAACCUCCAGGGUGAAGUGCUCACCGAUAUCCAUGCGCUUGCGGAUCAUUUUCUGAUGGCGUUACCAAAUAUCAACAAGCAUUUGUGGCGCCGUUGCCGGGGAGAAAGACGGUUUGCUGAGGUAACUUUAAGUCUUGCUAUUAUCUUGUAUUAUACUUUUAUACUUUUAUUCUUUUAUCUUUUUAUUUUUUCCAUCUUUAUGGAUAACUCAAAUUCCAUACCUAUUAUUGAAUUUUUUGCACCUUCGGAGACCAGCCAUAGACCAUGGGAUUCAACAAGUCAUUUCUUUGCCCCUAAUUAUGAUCUGUGUCUGGAGUUGAUUGCAAUAGGUCAAAACCAACCCUUUCCUAUAGCUGAGGUCCUAUCUUUUAAUCAUGAAGAUAAUGAACUUUUAGCUACACUUAUGGAAUCUUUUAAUUUUUCUAUAAAUUCUGGUUUAAACCUAGCCCUACAAGACCAUAUUGUUUCUCGAUAUUUUCACAUUGGUCUUAAUCAUAUAACCUUUGGUAGAGUCUUUCUUUCUUUAUCUAUUAGUAAAGGAAGGUAUGUCUUCAUUCGUGGACAUCCUUCUUGCACUAGUCUCAAUAAAAAAAUCCUAGAGAUAGAGAAGGAAUCAUCUCCCAGACGAGGAAAGGAAGUUUCAAUAGCCAAUUUCCAAACAUUUCAAUCCCAUAAUUCGGCUAUCCAACCCAUCCUUGAGCUUAAUAAUUUCUACUAUGCUCUUGAACCUCCCGAUGAUCCUAUGAAUCUCUCUAGACAUCCCAUGCAUAAGAGUCACCAAGACCAUAAGGAGGAUUGAGAAGAGCAACAUCAAUGGCUAGAGGGCAUUAAAAAUCCAUGUGCUAUCACCAUUGAAUGGUUGGAUAAAAUGAACUUGAGAGACAGUCCUAGAGGAAUUUUAAGCAUUCAUGAAGAAUCAUCCUUGGAGUUUGAGAAUGAAAGAAACAAUAUUGAGCAUAGAAUUUAUUUCAUAGCCACUUCGUUUACUCCAUGCUCAAAUGCAACACCUUCCCAAUCUAUUGGUCUCUCCAACAUAACCACAUUUGAGAUCUCCAACCCCCCUUCCUUUCUAUUUAUAAAAACUUUAAAAGGACGGUUGUCGAUGCAUAUGUAUAUAAUAAAUAUUGCAGAUCUCGUUGAGUUGAUCUUGAUAUAAGUCAGCGUUGGAGGGGAAACCACUUCGCUGACAUAAAUUGAUGGUUUCACAAGGACAAGCUUGGUGUCCUAAAACAAGCACUGAUCAGAUCGUAACGUGAGCUGUUAAUUAUUUGCAACAUUGCCUUGUGUAUUGAGCAUAUAAAGAUAAUUGUAGAAAUAUUCCAUCGGGUAUUCGUGUCACUAACCUUUCUAGGAUUGGAGCAAGAAGAUCCGAGGAAUGACAAGCGCAGGGUAUGCCCAACCAAUCAUCAUGCAAUAUUGAAUUAAAUUCAUCCAACCUUGAAUUUUGCAAAAUUCAAGCUUGGGGGAAAUACCUUACAUGAAAACAUCCUUUGCCAAGUUGCUAUGUUGGUUGUCCCUACCUUCGAGACAUGCUUGAUUUGUGAAAUACUAGUCACACUACUUCAUCUCCACUUGAGUAUAUCUCUAUAAGAGCCAUCAUGCUACCUAUGUUUAUCCUAGUAAGUGUUGGUUUGGAAGUACUGGACAUACUUCAAUUAGUGUUUAAAUUAAGCGUGGUGCUUAGGUUAAAUAACCUUCCUUAAUUUGAUUAGACAUGGAGUCUAGUUUGGUUACUGAACUAAAAACUGCUUGAGUAGGCAUUGGUAUAUUUUGUCGGACUAACCCCUGCAGGAAAACUUUCAACAUCAACCUGGGAAGUCCUGAGAUACAAACUCACAUUGGAGACAAAGAGAGAGACACAUGAAGGUUAACAAUUUGCACAAGAAGGACAUAGCUCAUUCAUCAUAGAGAGAUGAUCCAUGGAAGGAGACAAAGUACAUAAACAAGAUGCACAACCGCUAAGAAAGGAAAGCUUCCACAAGGUGAUACUGUACCAUCACUCUUCAAUUAAGGUAACAUCUUAAGGUACUUGACUAUCGCUUUUAUAAGUUUCUCCUUGGUUCUGGCAUUCACAUAAAAUAAAGAAACAACAAUUUAUAACUCCAAAUUAACCAACCCAACUGAUUCAACAUGUUUAGUCCUUUAAUCUUUGUUUAUAGUACUACCUUCAUGAUCUCACACCCCUAAUCAUAUAAACUAAAAUGUUGCACAUUCAAUCUUUAGAAGAUAUAAACAAAACAUAAAUAUAGAUAGAUUUAUUUUUCCAUUAGGUCAAGCAUUCUGAUCUGACAAAUGUUUUAAAUACUACAGUCAUGAUCUUAUUAUCCAUCAACUUUAUCUUGCUCACUAUGUUUAAGGUUAGAGAAGAACAAAUACACUUUUGGUUCUGUUGGUGUUUUCCACCAACAGGGCCCAUACACUUGAUCUCUGCCUUAUCUUUAUGAGCAGGUACACUUCGAGCAAAAACCUAAAGGAGUUUUACAACUCCCAGACUCCACCAAGUGAAGGACUUUGAUCUACAAGCACAAACACACUGAGUAGGAUGCUGCCAAUGCCACAUCUCGAACUGCUGGACAAACGAAGAACAUGGAUGAAACCGUAUCAAGAAGUGCGUAUGUCAAGGCCCACACCUAAUCAAAUGAUGCACCUAAAGGAUGAACACGGACGACCCUGGUGUUCCAAGCAUCGAGUGCACAAUCAAUGGAUACUCUUUUCAGAAGACACUCUACAACACCGGAUCUAACGUCAACAUAAUAGCCGCAGUCACUUAUUAGCUCCUGCAUGGAACCAUGCCCCUACAACCAACAUACACCCAGCUCCAGAUGGCAGAUCAGACAUUCCGAAAGGUUGAAGGUUAUUGACAUGGGAGAAGACGAGUAUGAUCCACCCAUCAUCCUUGAGAGACCGUUCCUCAGCACCGUUAAAGCAAUCAUCUACAUUGGAACCAGAGAAGUCCACAUGCACUUCCCCUCUGAGAAGGUACGCCGCUAUUUUACUGACCCUAACUAUAUAGUUGAAGACUCUAAGAAGGUUAGGACAAGAAGAAGACAACGCAACCGCAACCAGAGGAGGCAAAUCAUCAAGGACGGAUGGGCAAACUACGAAGGAGAAGUGGUAAGGUCUGAAGACAUACAGCUUUAAUAGAACUGUCCUGAGGAGACAGUAGCACCGAGUCAGGUGUGGAGAGAGAAGAUAGUUAUACACGAAGAAGAGGCGCCGCUAGAACCACCGACUACACCAUCUAGCAAAUCCCAGGACGACUGAGAAAACAGAGAGUCCCGUUCGGAGGACUUAAAAACACCGAACGCCUUGCCAAGAGGUAAACUUGGUAGUUGUCCUAUUCCCUUCAAUUAUUUAAAAUAGUUUGCUUAGUUAAUCAGGUUCAUGCUAUCUUGAAACGAAAAUAAAAAUGUUAAAAACAGUAAGCCCCAUGUGAGUAUGCUCAUGGCAUAAAACCCAUAAGUAUAUUCACUGUGGUGGCAUAAAAAUAAAAUAAAUAUAUUCUUGUCCUAUAAAAAUGAGAAUAUAAAAAUAAAUUUAUGAUCCUACCAAAGAGAGUAAUAUUUAUUAGAGAAAGCUCAACAUGAUAAAGGCAAAGAGAUUUUAUGCUAACACAUAACCAGUUCCACAAAGCAUUGUUGUCUAUUUGAGCUCCACAGAAUUCAAGGAUCAAAGAAGACUAGCAGACGAAGGACAUCCUAAUCGCCGUCAGGGUACUGCCGACAUUUCAAUACACCUCCGUCACCUGCUAGCUACAUCAAAAGAAAUUACGUCAAAAUCCGGCUUGGGGGAGAGCACCCCCAUUUAUCUAGCUAAGUGUUUCUACUCACGUUUAUACUUUACUCAAAUAAAAAAAGAUACAUAAUCAUGAAAACCCAAAUAAAAAUUUUGUGCUUAUAUAUAUCUUUGCUUAGUUUGCUAAAUAAAUAAAUAAAGUGUCUAGGCUAAACUGAACUUCAAUGAUAAACUCUUACAUGGAUAUGAUAAAUAGUUGGUCUGCCAUGUACCUAGUUUUUAAGUUUGAGCUCUCUCUCAUGUUUAGGCAUAACUGUUAUAAUUUAAACCUUCUCUAAACCUGAACUUGUGGGAAGAGUACUUGAUCUGAACUCUAAGUCGUUAACGGAUAUGAUAUGGGAAGGCUGAGCUGUUGUUUAUCUGUUCCUAGAGAUGCUAGAAUUCUAAAGAAUUUUAUCUUUGAAAAUCUUUAAAAUAACACAUGAUGAGUUCCUGUAUGAUGAGAGUUUAAAUUCCUACCACAGCCAUAUAUACAUGCUUGCUAGACUUUGAGCCACACAUUUACUUUUUACUGCUUAUGAGCAUUGAGUGUGGUCAAGCUGUGUAGACCUUUAGGAGCUGGUCAUGUGGUUAAAAUCAAGAUUCACUUGCACAUUCGCUCAUACAUGCUACUUCUACUCCGGAAGUACGCAUCCACAUAUAUCCACUCAUUUCCAUCGCUAGAUUCACCCAAAAUUAUUCUACUCCUAAUCCGAGAGAGAAUAGCCAAAAACAUUUCCCUAUUCCUAUUUUUCCCUAUGAAAUAAAUGCUCGAGUUAUCUUGGUUACUACCACUUGCUAUAUUAUUUCAGAUGAGUGCUGUAAAAAAAGAGAGAAAAAAUACGAGGAAAUAAAAAGGGGCAAGGGCCCGGAACAUUGAAAGAAAAGAAAAAGUGAGACGAGAGGUAAAAAUGGACAAGUGUCCGACAGUAGAAUUAGGGGUACAAGAUACUCACCUGAGAGAAAAGAAAAAGAAAAUAUAGAGCAUCUCAUUCUCCUCAUAAAGUUUCAAAGUGCAAGAAAGGUAUGUAUCCCCUAAAAAGAGCAAAAGUAGAAUUAGACUUUCACCAUUGUUAUCACCAUCAUCACCAUACACCAUUCACUCGCCACACAUGCACAUCUUGAUUUGACUUAUUGACUUGUUCUUCUAGAUCCAUGGUUUGACUAUGCAUUAAAUGUCUUGUAAGUAUGUAUUUGCUGUCUCCCACUUAUGAGCUCCAGAUAUCAAAACCUUUUCAGAGUAGGGUGAGAGAGAAGGCAAUAUCACUAUGCCUCAUACCAAAAACACCACAUACUUUGAGAGAAGGCAUAUACCAUUACUGCCUUGGAAAGGAUCCAAAAAUACCACAAAAGAGAGAUUUGAGAGAAUCAUACAAGGAAUCUCUGAGUUUUAUUUGUAAAUCUACAAAAACUCCAGAGCUAUAGCUGAUCAAGAAUAUGAGACAUGGCGCCUGACUUGACUGUUCUAUCUUUUAGCUGCUCAAGACACAAGUGACGGUUGCAAGCCCCAUGGUGAAAAGUAAAAUGAGUAAGUUUUAAGUCUUAACAGUUUACUCUAACUCAGAGAUGAGAUCUUGCUUGAACGCAUGUGUACUUUUAAGGCACGAAACCACUGCAGAAACUUUUGAGUCUAUCCUUGCUCAGGGACGAGCAAGAGGUAAGCUUGGGGGAGUUUGGUGACGGUCCUUAAGUACCAAAUAUAAUCAUCAAAUAAAUAAAGAAAAGGAUCCAAAUGCAUCCAACACCUAGACUUAGGGUUUCAUCUGACAGAAUUCCACGAGUUUUGGUGUGUGUCUAUUUCUGUAGGGGGUUAUCAGGAAAUAUGGAAGAAAGGCCCACACGUCGGGUUUACAUAGAGAUAUUAACGUGCCGUGCAAUUUUCUAUCAUCUAGAAGACUCUAGAAGCCACGGGAACGAACGGGAAGGCGAUCGGGCCC